This 62978-nucleotide long non-coding RNA is filed under the name Vitis vinifera (wine grape). RNAcentral's name for it is "long non-coding RNA (VVIN_LNC004526)". The record is from RNAcentral. Lineage: Eukaryota; Viridiplantae; Streptophyta; Magnoliopsida; Vitales; Vitaceae.
AAAAGCAAGGUGGUGGUGUUGCUGUCUCUAGUGGUUGGUGCCGCUGCCCAGAGCGCUAAUAAUGUGAGGGCCACCUACCAUUACUAUAAUCCGGAGCAAAAUGGAUGGGACUUGAACGCAGUGAGCGCCUACUGCUCCACUUGGGAUGCCAGCAAGCCCUUGGCAUGGCGCAGCAAGUAUGGAUAGACUGCCUUCUGUGGACCUUCUGGCCCUACUGGCCAAGCUACCUGUGGCAGGUGCCUUAGGGUAAGAUUCUAAUUAUCAAACAAUGUCUCUCUCUCUCUCUCUCUCUCUCUCUCUCUCUGUAACAUGUAUAUAUAACCUGAACAAUUUGAGGUGUGCAGGUGACAAACACUGCCACAGGAACUCAGGCAACAGUGAGAAUAGUGGACCAAUGCAGCAAUGGAGGAUUGGAUUUGGAUGCCGGAGUGUUCAAUCAACAAGACACUAAUGGGGUUGGCUAUGCCCAAGGCCAUCUUAUAGUCAAAUUACCAGUUCGUGCACUGUGUUGAAGAUCUGUGUGUAUUUCAUUUAUCAUAAAAUUUUGAAAUUUUUGUACUGAUUACUAGUUUGCGAGAGAAGUACAGUCAAACCCUCUUCCACUGGCAUAUAGUGGGCACAAACAUAUGUUCAUACUUAGCUGAUGAGUUAUGUGACCAUCGAGGCAAUUGUAGAAAGAAAUUUUGGAGUAGUAUAUCAAAUCUUAUCCAAAUCAACAUAGAACAUCCCCUAUAGUGUCUCAUUAUGCCCCAAAUUUAUUUGAUCACAUCAGAUUUUAGGAUCUUCAACCCCUUUUGAGUGAUAUAUAUAUCAUAGUAAUGCCUCCCUGUCAACUAUAUAUUUAUAUUCAUAGCCAUAUUGCAGCAUCUAGGCAUUAAAUAACUUGUUGGCAGUGAGCACAAACAUGACUAUGUUACCAAAAAGUCUUCUCAUUGCCCCUCAUGCCAUUUGAUUUUUGGUUUACUUGCUUUCUCAACAUUGCCCCUUUAGAUUGAAUCAAACAUGAUCACCAUAAGAAACAUGCAAGAGUAGCAUACAUCAUGCCUCUAUUUCAUGACAUGGUCAAAAGUUGUAUUGAGCAUAGCAAAAUAUUGGAUCAUUCAAAGUAUAAUUAUCUAUAAGGACUUGGAUAAUUAAGAAGUAUAGAUUCAUUCUUCCACUUUCUCAUCUUGGUCACCAAUUAAGCACAUGCAAUAAGAAAUACAUGUAUGGUGGAGCUCUCUUCUUAGUGCUCAAAACUAGUGCUUUUCCACAUGUAAAAGAAGGUUUUUAUAAAGUUUUUCGGUUCAAAUCAUUAUUUUUAAACUUAAAUAUAUGCUUAGCCCUUAUUUGUGGGACUAAUGUUUGAAUCUAGUAUAAAAGGCAGCAAAAAGUGGGUAAAAAACACAAAUCAAGCAAAUAUCAAGACAACCCAAAUACCCAAGGGUAAUGGGAGGAAGGUGGAGAUGCUGGAAAUUCAUGAGAGAGGGAUGAAGAUGCACAAAAAUAUGAAAAACGCAAGGAAAGGGAGGAGAGGUUUAAAAUGCUAGUUGCAAAUUGACACACAAAUUGAUGAAAGGAAGAAGUUAAAGAGGAUUUCGACACAAGAAAGGGUGUAAUAAAUAGUGCAAAAUUUGCUCCCAACACAUAAUUUCAACAUCAAAUUGGUAACAAUAAGGCAUGGUAUCAGAGUUUUGAUACGAGGCAUAAAAUGGACUUCAACUUUAUUUCGAUACUAAAAUUGAUACUAAACCUACUUUUGAUACCAAAAUGAUACCAUGUCCAAUUUCGGUACCAAAUCAACCCAGGCUUAUGUAUUAUUUCUAGGCAGAAACCUUCAAAUUUUGGGAUUUCAUUAUCAAAAUGAAUUGAUACCACUUUGAUGUAAGCUGUAGAUUUCGACAAACACACAAAAAUAUAAUUUGAGUUGAUUAGGAUAUUUUUAAAUUGUGAAUUUAUUGAAAAUCAACAUUGGAAGCAUCACAUUGAAGAGAUUCGAUUUUGAUACAGGGAAGUUCCAUUUUUUAUUACUUAAUUUUCAAUACAAGGCCAUUUUUUGUGUCAAAAUUUUGGCACCAAGUCUAUCUAAUGUUGCCUUUGAUCUUAGGAUGACCCAUUUUUACUUAUUUCUUUUUGGGGAUGUAUUUUUCAAACAUUGUCUACUAAUGUGUUAUUUUAGAAUUUAAUUCUAAUUAAGAUUAAGGUUACAACAUAUAUACGCGCGCACACAUAUAUAUAUAUUCUUCUUGCCAAUGAACAAUGGGUUGCGAAAAGGAAUUUUUCAUCAUGCUUGGUUAAUUUCUUUUCAAUUUGAUCAAGAUAUAGCAAGGAAAAUGGAUAUCUAUCCCGGAAAUCAUAGAGAAAAAAGAUAACUUUUCUUAUGGUUCCCAUGUUUGAGUUUGAACUUCAUACAUAAAGUGGAUGCUUAUUAGGGGUCUAGUGAUGCUUUCAUUCACUUGAUCAAUGGCUAACUUGAUUUGAUCUUUUGUUAUCAAAAUUUGAGGAGCAUCUACAAGAUGGAUAAAAAGUUUUUCGUGUAGAAAACGAAAAACUUGUUGUUCCACACAUACUUUUAAAAUAAACUUUUCCAAAAUUGAAAAACAAAAGAUUAAAAGUAGUUCCUUUUAUACAUUUGGGAUCUAAAUUGACUUGAAACACUCGAGUUUCAAAUUUAAACUUAUCUAUAUUGACUGUUCAUUCUUAGAAGAAAUAGUUUCCUUUUUUUUUUCUUUUGACUUUUCAUAUGUGGAAAUUGAGUUGGAAGGAAGGGGAUAGCAUAUUGGGUAUAAAAAAACCAAUCAGCAUAGAGUGCAUGAAAAUAUAAUAAUUUUUAGAAUGAGCAUAGCUUUCUUAAAUUUGGAAAAGUUAGGUUUUGAAAUCCUAAUUAUUUUCAAGCUUGCAACCCACAACAUGCUUUUCCCUUUAAAAUUUUUUUUGUAAGAAUUUGUUAAAAAUAAUUUGUUAUCUAUUAGUCAACUUAAUUAGUCAUAUGAUAAUUUUUACGCUUUCAAAUUUAAUGCUAAUAGUUUCUUUAUUAAGUAUCAAUCAAAGACAAUCGAUCUUGGCCAUAGGGAAUAAGAUAAGGGAACCCUUUAUGUGCUUGGAGAAGGAGAAAUUGAAGCCCUUAAUAUAGAGGAAGGAGCACCAUCAAUCAUUUGGCAUGCUCAUUUAGGGUAUCCAAAUUUAAAAUAUCUGCAAACAUUAGAAAAUAAGAAAGUUAUCCAUGUUCCAAAUUGGUUAACCAAAGAUACUUUUAGUUACAAGUUUCCAAGUUGGUAAAUGUUACAACCUUUUCUUCAAUAAAUCAUAUUCUCUUUCAAAAUUUCAUUUGGGAAAAAUCAUAGUGAUUUAAGAGGGCCUACUCCCACUCUUUCCUUUUAGAAAUCUCAAUAUGGUAUGUCCAUACUGUAGACCCUCCAUUUUUUUUCCUUUAACACAUGUCUUUAAGUUCACUUCCAAUGUCCCAUAGUAGUUCUUUAAUGGCCUAUUACUACUCAUGUAGCUUAUCUUUUUUGAGCCACUUUGGAGACUUUGAUUGAGGGGUUUAUCCAGCUCCACAUUAUGACCUUAGCUGCCCUUCAAGUUUAGAUUAGGCUUCACUUAGGUGCACUUUAGGUUAGACUUAGUUAGACCCACCGAGUCUCACCCUAGACCCGUAUAGGUAUACCCGGCCCAUUAGGCACCACCUUAGGCCUGUCUAGGUUCACUUAGGCCCACUUAAGCACACUUGGCCCAUUAGACAUUCUUAACAUGACUUGUAUGGUUGCAUGACUCAUUUAUCUCAUUCACUUAUUUAUUUAUUUUUAUUUAUUAUUAUUAUUAUCAAUUACUUUUAUUUAAUCAUUUAUUAUAUUUUAAUUUAUUUUCAUUGUUAUCAAUCACUUUUAUUUAUUUAGUUAUUUAUUGUUUUUUUAUUUAUUUGUUUAUUAUCUUGUUAUUUGUUCAUUUAUUAUUAUUAUUUUAUCAUUCUCCGAUUUAUUUAUUUAUUUUAUUCAUUUAUUUAAUUUAAUAAUUUGAAGUUUUUAUAGAAAAAUCUACCAAUGGAGAAGUUUUUGGAAAAGGUAGAACUCUUUAGGUGAUAUGCAUGGAAUGGUUUUUUGAAAUUUAAAAGGGAUUUUAUGGUGGAUGAGACAGAGAAUUUGGAAAGAAGAAGACUCCUGAGGUGGAAUGACUGCCAAUUGCUAUAAAAAGCAUAGGCAGAUGGGUUUUGGAGGAGGCAAAGAGAUAGAGAAAGAGAGGUUUUCAAAAAGAAAGAUUUUUUCAGCACACAUUGAUAAAGAGAGAGGGAGCUCAUCUGGGUCAUCAGGUUUAGUCAAAGAGAAUAGGAGUUCGUUAGUCUUUGGGGAAGCAGAAAAGGACUUUCAGGUAUGAUCCUCAUGGUUGCCUGUACAUUUCUUUUCAACAGUCUGAAUUUGUGUAUUAAUGCUAAAGAUCGUUUUUUAUUCUUGUUAUGGUUUGAGUAUGGAUUACUUGUGGCAUGGUCUUCGAACUCUUUCCCUUCCACACCAUUCCCUUCUCUUCUUUACUAUGUUUGGAUGUCGUUUGUUGGAUUACUGGUGACUUUGAAUGUUGAUUAUCCAUCUCUUGCUCAUCUGAUUUAGUAUGAGGAUGGUCUGAUUUCAUUUUAACUGCACUAUGCCUUGGAAAUCAUACGUUUGUUUAGAUUUUUUUUUUCUUUUAUUUCCCUCUACCACCCCUUUAAGCUCAUGGAUUACUCGUGAAAUGGCAUUUGAUUUGAAAAGAUUAUUCUUUUGUUUGUUGGUUUGUUUGUUUAUUUGUUUGUUAAUUAUAACCUUGAUCUUCUCCUUGUUUUCUUGAGUUUUUUUUUGUUUGGUUUUUUUCUGUUCUAUUUACUCUCCAUCCUUGGGUUUCUGCUUCACAUCAAAGAAAAGAGCCUACCGAAAUACAUUUGUUUGUUAGAAAAUAUUGGCCAUCUUUACAUAAUGGAUAGAGAUCACAAAAAACGGUAAUAGCAUCAUCACCAUAUCUCUGUUUUGAUACAUUUUCUCUCAUGGUCUGGGUCCCUUGAUUUUGACUUCCACCUUUUGAUUUCGGGAACUUGGAUGAGGAACCUAGCGGGUAAGUGCCAAGCUCUUCGGAUAGUGCUAAACCGAACCCAAGGAUAGCUGCAAGUUGCUUAGAUGUAAAUUCAUUAGGAAAUUGAGGAGAAAGUUGGCCAUGAGACUGCUUUUUGGGAAUUUACUUUCGUAAUUUUGUGAUAAUGCAAUCUAUUUUGAUAUAGGUCACAUCCUUGUUUAUGGGAGGUUAUCUUGCUACAGUUUCAUUGACCUUAUCAUGCUUGAGUAUCAUUCUAUCCUCAUGUGGAUGUUUUUUUUUAAAUCCCCCAAUCUCUGUUCUUCAUCACCUGUACCUUUUGUUGCAAACAUUUGGUUGGUUGUUGAGUUAUUUGUUGAACCUGUUUUUCUUUAUGAAUGGACUGGUCAACAUUUGGGGUUAUCUCGUUUGUCUUUCAUACCCAUUACAUGCAUCUUCCUAGAGAACAUAUAACCCAAGCUUAUGAAAUCCUGGAGAUGAUGGCUAAUCACAUCUGGAUGUGGGGUAUAUUGGUGAUGUUUGUCGGAAUGGUCUGGGUAUAUUGCGUCUUAGCCCCAAGUUCAUCCAUGUGGCACCGGCCUCCAAGCAUAGAAUUCUUAUUGGGUGACACGUGAGUGCUAGACUCUCAUUUUUUCAUGGCCAUGCAUGACCAUUUUUCUUCAUUCUCCCAUCUCAAUCACUAACCUCAACUUCACAACCAUGGUCUCUAAGCGAUACUAUUAUUGGAAAGAGAAUAGGAACAACACCCCAAUUCCAAUCCAAAACCAAAGAUUCCAUCAUGCAUAGCAUACCCACACUAAGAAGUUUGAGAAGCCUAAGCUAUCCGUGUGGAUUGUCGGCGUUCAAAAAAAUUGUGAACUCGUUGAUGUGGAGUUCAUGUAUGUUGCGAAAUGAACAAAAAAAAAAAGGUACAUUUUUGCAGGUCAUUAACACUUUCAGAUGCCUCUGAGGAAAUUAAAUUCAUGGGAUUGUACCCCAUAGCAUUAGCAGUUUGAUGUCUCUUGUUGCUUUGAGCUCUUUGUGAAAGUCCAUGCAUAAAAUGGUCAACGGUCUGCAUAUGGGCAGACAUGCUAUCAUCUUUCAUGCAAUCAACAAUGCUACAAGGGACAAAGUGCAUUUGGAAUUCAAUUUUAGCACACAACUCUACUGCCGCUAUGAAUGGACUCCAUUAACAACCGCAUCAAGGAUUGAAAACGAGAUGGUUUGCGUCCUCUUUGAAGCCAUGUUACAACAUGCAACAUAAGUAAUAUAGAAUCAACUAGCCUCCACAAACGAUCUUACCUACACGCAUCAUUCACUCAUUCUCAAGGGUAGUCACACCAUCCUCCUCUUUCUUUGUUUUGUUAAACGAUUCCAGCUUCCUUCAAAUUUCAUCCUUAAAGAGUUUCUAGAUUCAUAAAAAAUUCAGAUUUCAAGAAACCUCUUGUUGUCAUUUUCUCUCAUGGCAUUCUCACCAUUUUAUUUGAUUUUCAACUAUUCUCUUGUUUUUAUUUGAUUUUCAACAAGCAUGAACAAACUUCAUAGUGCCAAAUAAUGGAAUCAAUUGAACCAACUCAUGGAAAAGUAAUUUGGGACUUGAUGGAACCCCUACAUAAGAAAAAUUUUCAAAACUCUUCCUUGCUAACAGUUUUCAUUCAAUCAUUGACUUUCUAGAUUUAAAAUUCGUUUUAGCAACUUUAGAAUAUUUCACAAAAAUUUCUAAAACUUGUAUGAUUUUUCUCACGUCUUGAACUUAAAUUUAAAAUUCCGUUUGAGUUAGAAAGAGAUUCUAGAAUAGAAUAUAUAAAUGAGUAUUUAAGGGGCUUUGUUUUCACCUAGUUCUGGACACUCGAAAUCUUCCUGUAAAAAAUAAAAUAAUAGAUGACUUUUUAAAUUUGACUCGAUAUUUUUCCUUGAUUCUAGACUUCUUGAAAUUGAUCUUAGACAUAAAAUAUUAAAAAAAUAUGCAUUUUUGAGGGAGAUAUGAUUUUUCAAAUUCGUACCUACUGUACAUAAUGGAAUUUGGACAUCGGAUUAGUUGGAGUGUUUUAAAAAUAUUUUGAGUACUCUCCGACCUGGAUUUAUUUUUCCUGUGAUAUAGACACUUUGAACGAUGUGUGUGAUUUUUUGUAUGAUUUUAUGUGAUCUUUUAUUCUUUUUAAAAAAUUUGUUUAUGCAUGUCACCAUUUUUUUACCUAAUCUAAACCUUCUGGAACUUUUGGGUGUCUUUGCUGCAAUUUGACAUUUAAAUGAGUGUUUGGCUUUUGGUAUCUUGUUCUAGACGUAUAGGAGUUGUUUCCUGAAAUUUUUUUUGUAGUUAAAUUCCACUCUAAGAUAUUUUUUUCAAAAAUUGUUUUGUGAUACUUCAUUUUCUAACUGCAUGCUGAUGGUUUUAUACUUUACUUGGAAUUGUUAUUAUUUUUGGAGUCAUUUGAUUUAUCUUAGCUCAAUUUCGGUUUUGGUACUAUAUAUUAAACAUAUUAAAUAUGUUAUAUAAUAUAUACUUGUCCUAACCACUCUAGCCUUUUUUUGAGGAAUCUUAUAAAUUAUGCAUGUUAUCCAAGUACGCUCUCUAUGACUUACUUUUCAGAAUUCUAUGAACAUGCAUGUUGUUGUGAGCCUUAUUUACGCUUGAUGUGAUCCUUAGGUGCUUAGAUGUAUGCUUGGAUAAAAUACAUGUUGUGUGUUAUAUUUUUAUACUAAAUUUGAUGUUUUAUGAUAGCGCUUGAGAAACAAUUCAGGUACACACCCUAAAUCUUCUUUAUGAUUAUGAUUGGUUUUUUUUAUUUGGCAUGCUAUUUUUUUUAUUUUUUAUUUUUAAAUCACCUAGCAUACCUAGGUAUCUAUAAUCAACCAAUUAAUUGUCACAUUUCCCUCAACUUAGUCAGUAGAAACCUUUGUAGGGCUUAGAGGGGUGCUACCUUUUAGAGGUACCUUCCCAAUAAGUAACCUGAUCCCUGAACCUAGACUUGAGUUUUUCAAAUAUACGUUUUUCCAAAAACUAUGGAGUCACUUCUUUAAGGUUUUAUUUCUUGUUUUAUUUUCCCUUUUAAAAUAAAAUAAAAUAAGUGGCGACUCCAACUUUUACAAAACCAAUUUUUCACCAAUAAAAAUGAGUCUUGUCGAUUGAGUGGGGACGCAUGUGAAAAAUGCUGGUCCACACAUACACUAUGUUACUUGUUAUUUUAUUCAAUUCUUAUUGAUGAUUUUACAUGAUAAACAUGAUUGUAUCCUUUAAAAUAUAAAAAUGAUUUUUAUACUUGUUUCCUUUAAUUUCAAACAUGAAAAACUCUAGCCCAUGAUCUUAAGGUUGUAGAUGCUAUGAAUAACUGUGGAUGACAUGAAUGACUGACUCUUACACUCAGGCCUCUAUAUACUAUGACUAGCUCAAGGCUGUUAUUGAUUUGAAAUACUCUGUAUCAUCAACUCAAGGCUAUAGAUGCUAUGAAUAGCUUGAGGUUGGGGGUUGAAAUAAUCAACUCCAGGUCGUGAGCUAAAGGCUCUAGAUCCUAUGAAAAAGUUAAGGCUAUGUAUGAGAUGAACGACUCCGGGUCAUGAGCUCAGGCAUUUAGAGACUAUAAAUAGCUCAAGCCUAUGGUUGACAUGGAACACUCUGGUCAUGACCUUAAGGCUUUAGAUGCUAUGCACAACUCAAGGCUAUGGUUGAUAUGACCGAGCUCUUGUUGAGAAUCAAUUUGACAAGAAGAUCAAAAUUUUCAAAGUGACGAAGGUGAAGAAUUUACUUCAAAUGAAUUUAUAAAUCAUUUAACUCAGCAUGACAUUUCUCACCAACUUUCUUGUCCUCAAACCCCAAGACCAAAUGGGUGUGUAGAGCAAAAGCACUAACAUACAAUUUACCUUAUUAAUAUAUUGUUUCUUUCUUGCAACAAUAAAAAAAACUCCUUAUUUUAAAUUAUUUGAUAAGAAUCUUGUACUCUAAAUUGCAAAUUUUUGUAUCUCAAUGAUUUCCAUAUCUCAAAUAACUAUUCCUUGUGUGUGCGUUGGAUAUAGUCCUCUGCAUAAAAGUUAUAGAUUCUUCCACACCUUUCUCUCAUCAUUAGGAAAAUAAUUCAAAUGAACUUUUAUUAAUACCUCUUUGAUUUCACCACUUUUUUAUCUUCUCAUAACACCACAUCUAAUUCCCCUAAAAUUCUUCUAUAUCACAACUUGACCAUUCCUUCAUUUACGUCCACUUUUCCAAAAGAAAUAGUUACUUCUCUCAUGAUCACAUCAUCUCCUCCUCAUUGCUCUAUUCAAGAAAACCAACCACCUACCUAUCUCCAAGAUUUCAUUGGCCUCUUUAUUUCCAACUCUCCAAAAUCCCAUGAUGUUUUUCUUGUUUUCAUCAUUGAUGCAAAAACUUACAAAACAUCACUCAAAUACACAAAUUGUGUGAUGUCAUGCAAGAAGAAGUCAACACCUAACAUCAUAGUCACACUUGGUCACUUGUCCCACGACCACUUGAUUCCAACGUUAUUAGUUCUAAGUGGAUUUUUCACACUAAGCUAUAAGAAGAUGGUACUUUCGACAAAUUCAGAGCCCAUUUAGUUACAAAAGAUUACUCUCAAAUCCCAGGUCUUGAUGUUGGAGAAACACUUAAAACAAUUGGACAUAAAAAAUGCAUUUUUAUAUGGAGCACUCAAUGAACAUGUGUAUAUAUAGGGCAACCAUCAAGCUUUGUACAUCCAAAACUAUCAAAUCAUGUUAGUAUUCUUCAUAAAUCUCUUUAUAGCCUUAAACAAGUACCUCACACUUGGUUUAUGAAAUUCCUUCAUGCCGUCUCUCUAAUGGUUUUAUUUGGAACAAAGCAAAUUCAUCAUUAAUAUUUAUUAUAGCCAUGGUACUAACAUCAUUCUUUUACUUUAUUAUGUAAAUGGGGUAAUUAUCACAAAUAGUGCUUCUUUUAUUUCUCAUCUCAUCCAACGUCUCUCAAGGAGCUUGGCAAACUUCAUAACUUUCUUAGCUUUGAGAUUAAAUAUUUUCUUGGUGGACUUAUCCUCUCUUAGACCAAAUACACUUGUGAUUCUAGUCAAAGCAAGAAUGCUUGAUGCCUCCAAAAUUAAUACCCUAACAGCUCAAGAACCCAACCUUCUUCCAAACAACAAUGAGUUUUGACAAACCCUACUGAAUGCCAAUUAUGUGGCUCACUCCAAUAACUAACGUUCACUCAACUUGACCUUACUAAUGUACUAAAUCUUGCAUGCCGACACUUUCAAAAUCUAUCGAUGGAGGACCUUUGUGCUAUAAAAUGCAUUUUGUGCUAUAUAAAAUGAACUUUAACUCAUAGUCUUCAUUAUCUAUCUCAAAGCUCUCUCACCUUGAAUGAUGUAGAUUGGGUUAGUUGUCCAACCACUAGAGGAAGCACAACAAAAUUUUGCAUUUUUCUUGAGUUGAAUUGUGUGGUUUGGGCUUCCAAGAAGCAACCUACACUUUCAUGAUGUAACACUAAAGUUGAAUAUCGAUCUUUGGCUACUGUUGCCACUGAAAUCGAAUAUCUCUUUCUUUAUGACAACACAAGUGUCAUUCACUUAGUUCACAAUCUAGCUCUUCAUGCAUGUAUGAAACAUAUUGAGAUUGACUCCCACUACAUACGAGAAAAAGUUACUGUCAAUGCUCUUCACAUAUGACAUCUUCCUACCAAAAAUCAAAUUGCUUAUAUAUUUAGAAAGACUUUAUGGAAAGAAUCUUUCUAAGUAUUUUGUUACAAGCUUACCGUUCAUUAUCAUUGUCUACCAACCUUGAGAGGGGUAUCCUCACAAUUUCCACAAAUCAAGCCAAACAACUUCAAAAGAAUUAACAAUAUCUCAAGAAUCCAAAUCUUCAUAGUUAACCUCUAUUAUUUUCCUUAGAGCUCUUUCUCUAUAAACUUUUGUAUUUUCUUUUAGAAAUAUAUAUAUAUAUAUAUAUAUAUAUAUAUAUAUAUAUAUAUAUAUAUAUAUAUAUAUAUAUUAUUUUCUUUUAAAUGGUACUAUCUCUUUUUUAUAUUAAUCAAAACUUAAUAGUUUAAUUAGUUAUUGAUAAUUUAGAUGUUUAUGUAAUACUUUAUUUUACAAAAUUAAAAUUUUUUACUAUGGUAUUUUAAUUUUAUGAAAUAAAAAAUUUAUUAUUAUUUACUAAAAAUUCGUAAAUGUAAUUUUUAGUGACAAGGGUUAUUUUGUUAGAUAAAAUAAAUUCUAGUCUUUUCAUAUUAAGAAAAAAAUUAAAAAGCUACUUCAGUUUUUUUAAAUGUUUUUAUUCAAUGACAUCUUAUUCCAAUUUUUCCCCAUAAUAAAAAUAAAUCUUAAAUCAUUCUUGACAUAUUAGAAAAUUGAUAUGCAAAAGAUUCAUGUUUGGGAUGAGAAGCCCGCUUGCCAAAAGCGAGUGACGAGCACGGCCAGUCCAGAUCAUGGUGUUCUCUGUUGUCACCCUCUCACCCUGCUGGAAAGGGCCGUUAAUGAUUUGAUUGAGGUGCCUAAUUAUUAUUGACUAAUCCUGGAUUGACUAUUUCUUGGUAAUUAUCUGCAAGACAACACUUGUAGCCGCCUCCCAUUUGUCGCCUUCCCAAGCCUAAGGGUACGUCCAACACACUACCAAAUCUCUCCGCCAUUGAUUCAAGUUAUGAUGAGUUGCAAUUGGAUGCAUCUCACAAACGCCGAACGCAUGGAUAUUUCUUGUGGAGUAUAAAUUCCUUAAUAAUUUUUAAAUCAAUAUAUUAUUAUAAUAUAAUAUUUUUAAAUAUUAUAAUUAUUAAAAAUAUCUUUAAAAAAAGUUACAAAAUGAAAAUAAAUUUUUAAAGAUUAUGUAAGAUAGAUAGAUAUGGGCGGGGUCAGGGACUUUUGUUAGAGGUAAGCUGAAAAAUAUUAUAUUAUAGUGAAGGUAAUUAAGGGUAAUUAUUAUUAUUAUUAUUAUUAAAUAAUUAAAUAAUUUUAAAUAUUAAUUAUGAAAAUGUAUGAAAUAUGAAGAAUAUUUAAAAAAAGUUUUAGAUUUUAUUCAAAACAAAAAUUAUCAAGAACAUUUAAAGAAAAUUUUCAAAAUAAAAUAAAAAUAAAAUAGAAGGAAAAACCAUUAGAAAUUUUCAAUAAUUUUAAUAAUUUGGUAGUCGAAACCCUUAAAAUUAUUUUAAAGAAUUUAAUCAUUUUUGUUAUAAAUUUUGAUAUUUUUCAAAAGGAAAAGGUGUGCGCUUUUAUUGUCUUAUAACUUGAUUUUAUUUAUUUAUACCUUAAUCUUAUUUUUUGUACCUAUGUCAAAGGUUUUUUUUUUUAAUGUACUUUCAAAAGUGGGGAUUAAGAUUUUCAUAAAUAUCAAAUAAUAUCGUAUUUUUUUUCCUUUUUUCAAAUAACUAAAUAUAAGAUAGUUAAAAGUCUUUUACUUAAAACUAUAAUUUGGUUUAAAAGUAUUAUUUUUUUGCUAAAACAAUAAGACAAAAACUAAAACAAUAAUUUAUGUGGUAAAUUAUAGCUAAAACAAUAGCAGUUUAAAAGUAUUAUUUUUUUAUAAUUUGGUUAAUUCCAAUAAGACAAAAUCAUAAAAAAUAAAUGGGUUUAAUACACUUUGCCCCUUCAACCUAUCAUUUGUUUUGCACAUUAUCCCUUUAGGUUUAAAAUGAAACACAUUGCACCCCAUGCUUAUUAAAUUGCAGCACUCUACCUUAAUCGUUGAACAAUGUUAGCUUUAGUGGACGGAAAUAUCACGUGUUAUGCAAGUGACUAACUAAUGAAUGGUAGAUCUAGAGAAUCCUAACCCUGAAAAUAUCACGUGUUAUGCAAGUAAUUGACUAAUGAAUGGUAGAUCUGGAGAAUCCUAACCCCGAAAAAGCCCCAAACAACUCUCAGGCUUCAUCUUCGUUUGAAGCCUUAACCCAUUGAAACCCUAAGGCCCCAAAUACCUAAUACAAACAUCAAAAGGCUGAGAGUUCGAUUGAAAUGGAUUUUAACAGCAAAUCUUGUCAUUCCAUUAAUUAUAAAACAUGGAUUUCAUAGCUUAAUUCCAUCAAGGCCCCAACCACAACUUCUCAUCAAUUCAAAUUGUUCACAAAAAAUACAAAACUAAACCAAAUUGGGAGGGAGCCUUCAUCAGAUCUACAAAUUUCUAGGUAACACUGGUACAAAGCUUGCCUAAAAGAACUUACACCAUUUCUUUGUAGCAUGAUGACUAGAAGAGCCAAACAAAUUGCCCAUGGAAUGAUCAUCAACCAAAACAUACAUUUAACCCUUUUUUGAUAAACAAAUACUUCAUUUUCCCUUUUCUUUAGACCAUUCAACAAUCCAAGAAUGAUUUUCUUCGACCUAUCAUGGAGCAUUGUACAUGAAUAAUCCACAUCCUCCACAUCUCUUUACCAAAAAUUAAACACAUAUAAUAAUAAGAUGUCUACAAAGAACAAAUGACCAAGAAUCGAUAUAAAAAUCAAUACAUUAUUUAUCACAUCCCAAAAACCUUCUCAAUUAAUAGGAGGAUCCUCCAUUACUCUUGUAGCUAUGUUUCUUCACAAAGCUCUACUUGCCAGAUUCUAGUGCUUCAGAUUUGUUAGGGCUUUUAGGGUUUUGAUGGGUUAGGGCUUUGAAUGAAAAACAAAGACAAAGCUCUCUGUUUGGGUUUUUUUGGGGUUGGGAUUUUCCAAAUCUACCCUUCAUUACUUAGUCACGUGUACAACAUAUGAUAUUUCCAUCCACUAAAACUAACACCGUUCAACGAUCAAGGCAAAAUGUUGCAAUUUAAGAAGCAUGAGGUGCAAUGUGUUUGAUUUUAAACUUAAAGGGGCAAUGUGCAAAACAUAGGAUAAAUUGAGGGGGCAAAGUGUAUUAAACCAAAAUAAAUAUAAAAAAAAAUUGAAUAAACAAGAAAAAAUAAGUACUAAUAUCAAUUGAGAUUUUAUUUAUUUUUGUUAUAAAAUAUGAGAAUUUAUCAGGAACUUGUGGGUGAUCAUUCAUAUUAAUGUACAUCUUUUUGUGACUUCUUAUAAAAGGGUGAGACCUCUAAUGAAAGUUCAUCAUGUUUUCUUCCUAUAUUCUAAUUUCAUUUUUUUCAUUUUCUUUUCCUCCCACUUAUUAUUUUACAACAUGUUAUCAAAACGACGCUUUGAGUAUGUAAGAAAAAAAUAAGAAUGUUCGAGAUAAAAAAAAAUGAGAAGAAUUCAUCAAUAAAAUUUCUUAUAGGUAUGUAACCUUAUUUUCUUCAAACAAAAUAUGAAAAGUAGUAUGCAUUGUCUUCUAUUAUUAUAAUUUUUAUUUACUUUAUCUCAUAGCUAGAGGUUAUGUAAAUCAUAUUUCAUAUAAUCAAACUAAAAACUUGUAAUUGUAGAUAUUUUAAUUAUUUAAUAACUAAAAGCUAUAUAGAAAAUUUUCAUAACUAGAAGUUAUAAAAAGUAUGUACAAUUCUCAUAACCAAAAGUUAUAGAGUAAAUUACAAAAUCGCAAAUACAUAACCGAAAGCUAUGCAUAUGAUCCAUAAUUACUUUUUAAUUAUAUUAUAUAACUAGAAGUUAUAUAAAAUAACAUUAUAUAGCCAAAAGCUAUAUAAUGAAUAGUUCAUAACUUGAAGCUAUAUACAAAUUUGCAAAAUGAAUAAUUCAUAACUUGAAGCUAUUUACAAAUUUGGAUAAUGAAUAAUUCAUAACCUGAAAUUAUGUACAGAUCUACAUAAUGAAUAAUUCAUAACCUAAAACUAUGUACAAAUUUGCAUAAUGAAUAAUUAAUAGCUUGAAGCUAUGUGCAGAUUUGCACAUUUUUUGUUUUGACAAAAUAAUCAUAAUUCAAAGUUAUGAAAAACAUUGGCUUUUAAUUUUUAUUUCGUAUUCACGCAUUUUUCAUAACAAGAAAUUAUUGAAACAAUUUUUAUUAAUAAUUGUUUUAUAGACAGAAGAUAUGUAUACAAUUUCUAAUUUUCUUAUGUAAUCAGAAGUUAUAUAAAACAAAAUUAUCAAUUAACAACUAUGUAGCUAGAGGAUACAUGGACAAUUUUUAAUCUUGUUGUAUAACCAAAAGUUAUAUCAUAACAUAAUUGUCAAAUGUUUAAUGUUAUUAUAAUAUUACUGAAAUUUAAUUAUUCAUAACCUGAAACUAUGAAGAAAAAGUUAGUAAAUUAAUAAUUGUUAAAACUUGUAUAACCAUAAGCUAUAUGAAAAAAUGUUUUAUUAUAAACUUGUAUUAUAUAGUCAAAAGCUAUACAAAUAUUAUUACUCAUAAUAUGAAGUUAUGUAACUAAGAAAAUUAAUAUUAUUUGUACUAAUCAAAAGUUAUGUCAAAAUUGUUAAUAUGUACUUUCUUAUAGCUAAAAGUUAUAGAGAACAAAAUUGUUAACUAACAAUUGUGUAGAACUUUAUAAAAUUCAUGUAAUAAAAAAUUAUAAUGAAAUAUAUUAUAACUUGAAGCUAUGAUAACAAAAAUAUAGAUAAUAUUUAUAUAUUAUCAAAAUAUUAAUAUUUUAUACAUCAAAUUAUACAAAGAGAAAAAUGUUUGAUAGUUUUUAUAAAUUCAUAUUAUUAGAAGUUAUGUUGUUAUUAGUAGAAGUAUUUACAUGUAGAUAUAAAAUUUUGGGUUGCAUGAAAGUAUGAUAUUUAUACUUAAUAUUCUUGUGUUAUAGGUAAUAUUUUGAAAUAUUUUUUUAUUCUUCUCAUAAAAAAAUUCCCAUGAAAAAUGUCAUGUAAUAAGAAUAUUUUGUAAAUUUGGUAUAUAUAUUUUUGUGGGUGUUGCAAAUAAAAUAUGAGCUUGGUGCAAUUUGUCAAUGCUCUUUCGGGUUUUUCUCCUUGAUUGUUGCAAAUAAAUAAAUUUUCCUUUUCCUCGAGAAUUUUGCAAACCAAACAAAGGUGGAUUUGGACCGGCAUCAAGCCUUUUUGGAUCAACCCACAUGUCAACCUCAAAUGAACCUAAUUGAUGUUUAGAUCAGAAUUUUAAAGAACAUUUAUUAAUUAGAUUUUAAUGUAUGCUACGAAUAAUUGUUGGAAAUCACAGCCGACUCACCCAUGACUUGGCUGUUUCUGACUUGGAAUAUCUGGGCAUCCAUUGACUGACUUAAACAACCUACCCAUAUUUCUAGAAAAGUAAUUAGUAAAUAUGAUUUCUGGCACCCAUUGACUGACUUAAACAAUUUUUCCCCAUAUUUCUAGAAAAGUAAUUCAAAAGGAUGAUUACAAAAUAUCAGUUGCCCAUCUUGACCGCCGGUAGCAUCCUCCUCACUCACAAACCACAUGUUUUAAUUUCUAGUACAACUCAGCCUUUUGAACAAAUGAUUACAAAAUGUUUUAAGGUAAAAAUAAAAAAUAAAAUGCUCUUUAAAAAGACGAGUAUAAUAUAAAAAAUAAAUUUAUCUUCUGAAAAGAUGAGUUUGAUAAAAAAUAAAAAAAGUGUCGAAAAAAAUCACAUUUUUAUAUUUAUUUUUUAAAAUAAUUGUAUUUUAAUAAUAUUUAAAGAAAAAAAGCAUUUUUAUUAAGAAUAUUUCUUUGUUAAUUUUGUCUUUUUAAUGAAAAAAAUAAAAAGUUUUAAAAUAAAUUUUCCCUUCGUGGAAUAUGAGUUACGUGUCCCACAAGGCUGAUUAACUGAUUCACUCCGACACACCAUGUGGAAUGUUGUCCUAUGAAGCUUGAAGCUUGUCCAUAUUUCAAACAACCCGAGUCACAAUGGUUGAAAGGUCAAAAGCUCUAGGAUCGUAGGAUCAUAAUCUUCAGCCCCGAGAGCCUAAUUUUUCGGGUCAUCAUAGGGGACUCCUCUCUAUAAAUUCGAGAGGUGAUGAAGCAAAAAUCAUUCAACAAAAAUGGAGAGGAGAGGCAUAUGCAAGGUGGUGGUGUUGCUGUCUCUAGUGGCUUGUGCCGCUGCCCAGAGCGCCAGCAAUGUGAGGGCCACCUACCAUUACUAUAAUCCGGCGCAAAAUGGAUGGGACUUGAACGCAGUGAGCGCCUACUGCUCCACUUGGGAUGCCAGCAAGCCCUUGGCAUGGCGCAGCAAGUAUGGAUGGACUGCCUUCUGUGGACCUUCUGGUCCUACUGGCCAAGCUGCCUGUGGCAAGUGCCUUAGUGUAAGAUUCUAAUUAUCAAACAAUCUCUCUCUCUCUCUCUCUCUCUCUCUGUAUAUAUACAUGUAUAUAUAACCUGAACUAUUUGAGGUGUGCAGGUGACAAACACUGCCACAGGAACUCAGGCAACAGUGAGAAUAGUGGACCAAUGCAGCAAUGGAGGAUUGGAUUUGGAUUCCGGAGUGUUCAAUCAACUAGACACUAAUGGGGCUGGCUACGCCAAAGGUCAUCUUACAGUCAAUUACCAGUUUGUGAACUGUGGUGACUAAACCACUACUCCCCUUGUUCCUAAUAAUAAGAGAUUAUGGUGCAAAAAUAAAUAAGCAUGGAGUUAGCCGCUUCUACUGCAAUAAAAUGUUGUCAAACUUUGAGUUUGGCUUUGUAUGAAUUUGCAAGAGCAAAAAAUCACAUAUAAAUCUUUAUGAAUUCUGCUUUCCUCCUGCUUUCUUUUAACCAGCAAAGUUUUCCCCUUAUCCCAAAGGGUUUUUAAUUUUUUUUAAUACUUGAAAAUUUUUAUCCAAAAAAUUGAUUUUAAGUAAUAAAAAAAUUGAAAACAUUCUUUAAAAUCAUUUUCACACAAGCUCUUAGUCAUGUCCAAGUAUUAAAAAAUUAAGAAAAUCACUUUUAUGUUAGUUGAUACAACACGAUUUGAGCAUAUCAAUACUGAAAGGAACAGAUAUAUUUGACAAAGAAACAUCCAAAAAAAAUGAAAAAUUAUUAUCAAAAUUGAAGAAAAAUUGCCACCCAUAAUUGAUGUGACCUUUUAUAAUAAUUUAUAAAUUGAUUAUUAAUAUGUCAAUGAUGUAAUGCUUUUUAUUACGUCACCCGUAUUUAUAACAAAAUCAAACUCCAUAAAGCAAAAUUAAGAAUAAAUAAAGUUUAUUUUUCGUUCUCCUUAAUAAUAGUUUGUCGCAUUUAGUCAAAAGACUUUCUUCAAAUUGAUAAAUGGUAGUUUUUUUCAUUCAUACUUUCAUUCGUCCAUGUACAGAGUAUAUAUAGAGGGUAAUCACCAUUCUAAGAAUGGGAAAAAAUGAUACAAGGAAAGAAUGAUAUAAGGAAAUAACAACUAAUAUCCUAAUAUCUCAAUUUUCCUAAUAUCUCAAUAUUCCUAGUAUCUCAAUAUUCCUAAUAUCUCAAUAUUCAUAAUAUCUCAACUUUCCUAAUAUCUAAACAUUCCUAAUAUCUCAACACUAAAUGAUAUAAGGAAAGAAUGAUAUAAGGAAAGCAUUCCUAAUAUCUCAACACUCCCCCUCAAGUUGGUGCAUAGAUGUCACACAUGCCUAACUUGUCUAAAAAUUUUGAGAACACUUGACUUGAGACAACUUUGGUAAGGAUAUCGGCCAAUUGAUCUUCUGAUCGAAUCUUAGGUAAUUCCACAAUCUUAUCAUCCAACUUUUCCUUAAUGAAGAAUUUAUCCACCUCGACAUGCUUUGUACGAUCAUGUUGUACUGGAUUAUGAGCAAUGUCACAUGCGGCUUUAUUGUCACAAAACAAUCGGAUUGUUUGCCUAGAUAGGUAAACUAAAUCCUGUAAGAGGAGUCUUAGCCAUAAUGCCUCACAAAGUCCUAGAGUCAUACCUCUAAAUUCCGCUUCUGCACUUCAACGACCGACGACAUUCUGCUUCUUACUUUUCCAUGUCACAAGAUUACCACCUACAAAGGUAAAGUAACCAGAUGUAGAUUGCCUAUCAUCCACUGCACCGGCCCAAUCAGUAUCAGUAUAUACUUCUAUACUCUGAUGAUCAACAUUUUUAGCGAACAAAAUUCCCUUCCCAGGAGCAUUCUUCAAAUACCUCAAAAUACGCAUGACUGCAUUCAUAUGUUGCUCUCCAGGAUUAUGCAUGUAUUGACUCACUGCACUCAAUGCAUAAGCAAGAUCUGGUCUUGUAUGAGCUAAGUACAUUAAUCUCCCCACAAGUCUCUGGUAUCUUCCCUUAUCGAUUGAUACUUGAUUAGGCUCAACACACAAUUUCAAACCUUCUUCUAUUGGUGUAUUAACAGGUUGACACAAUGACUUCUUUAAUUUGCACACCUUCUGACAUUGCUUUUCUGACACCAUGCAUCCUGGUGGAAGAUCCAUAUAUACUUCUUCAGAUAACUCGCCAUGCAUAAAGGCAUUUUUCACAUCGAAUUGUUGUAAUGGCCAAUCUAGGUUUGCAGCUAAAGACAAUAAUACUCGAAUUGUGUUGAUCUUAGCUACAUGUGCAAAUGUCUCUGUGUAGUCAAUUCCAUAAGUUUGAGUGUACCAUUUUGCUACCAGUCUUGCUUUAAAUCGUUCAAUACUACCAUCUGCCUUGUACUUCACAAUAUAGAUCCAACGACACCCAAUUGGCUUCUUUCCUGGUGGACAUUCUACGAGUUCCCAUGUUUUAUUCUUUUGCAAUGAUUUCAUCUCUUCAUUCAUGGCUGCUUUCCACCUUGGAUCAGCUAAGGCUUCCUGUACACUGUUAAGAAUAGUUACAGUAGAUAAUUGAUUUACAAAUGACUUAUUUGAUUCAGACAAACGAUGGGUAGACACAUAGUUGCUCAUGGGAUAUUUGACUUUAGUAGACAAUUCAGAUUCAUAUGUGGGUUUAGGAAUACCUCUAUUAUGACGAUGUGGUAACCGUUUCAUGAAAGGAUCAUGUUCCAAAUUAAGAACACCCUCAACAGACGACGAUUGGUUUGGUAUUUCAGUGAAGACAUCUUCGGACCCAAAUUGUUGACCACUCAUAUCCAACUCACCCACUUCCUGGUUCACUAGUUCAGAUUGUCUAUAUUCAUCUUCCUCAGAGAUAUGAUAAUCAUAAUUGAGAGUUUGAAUUUCCUUAUGGUACUCCCCCUGAAGUUUAGACUCAGAUGAAAAAUACAUUGAAUCUUCAUGAAACACCACAUCCAUUGUAAUAUACAUUUGUCAAGUUGGAGGAUGGUAACAUCGAUAUCCCUUUUUGUGCAAUGCAUAUCCAACAAACACACAUUGCAAUGCAUGGGAAGUUAACUUGGUGCGUUGGUGCUUGUGUAGAUGCACAAAUGCCACGCAACUAAAAACACGAGGAGGUAGAUUUGGGACGGUUGGGGCAACUACGACAUUAGUAAGAGCUUGGAGAGGUGUUUGAAAGUUAAUUGAACUAGAAGGUACCCGAUUGAUCAAGUAUGCGGCAGAUGUGAUUGCUUCUCCCAAAUAAGAUAUCGAUGUUUUGGCUGCUAUCAAGGAAGCACGAACAACCUCUAACAAGUGUCGAUUUUUUUGUUCAGUGACUCCAUUUUGCUGGGGUGUAUUGGAACAAGUAGUCUGAUGAAUGAUGUCAUGUCCUUCCAAAUACUUUUGAAGAUCAGAACUUUGAUAUUCUCCACCAUUAUCACUACGCAGAACCCGAACCUUUGCAUUGUACUGAGUUUCAAUCAUUUUAUGAAUUUUUUUAAACAACAAGUUCACUUCAUCUUUGGUCUUCAUCAAGCAAAACCAUGUCAUUCUGGUACAAUCAUCAAUAAAAGUAACAAACCAACGUGAGCCACUCAAAGUUGGGACUUUGGAUGGGCCCCAAACAUCAGAAUGUAUAACCAUAAAAGGAAAUGAACUUUUAUUCAAAAUUAACGGAAACGAAGCACGAUGGCUUUUAACCAAUUCACAAAUAUCACAACGGAAACCAGAAAUAUCACUCUUUGCAAACAAACUAGGAAACAAUUUUUUAAAAUAACCAAAUGAAGCAUGUCCUAGACGUCGAUGCCACAACCAAAUUUCAGACUUUUUCUUCUCCCCCUCAAAUCCAUCUGCCAUCAAGGCUUGUUGCAACUUAUUUGAAUCCUUUGAUUGCAAGUCCAAGUAAUAGAGUUUUCCCUGUUUCAUACCACAACCAAUCGUCUGUCUUGUUUGGAUGUCCUUAAUCACACAAAAUUCAGGCCAAAAAAUGACAAUACAAGAUAAGACUGUAGUGAUUUGAGAAACUGACAAAAGAUUGUAAUCUAAAGAUGAAACAACUAAAACAGAAUCCAAAUUCAAAGUAUCAGUAAGAGUUAAGGAUCCUUCCCCAAUGACUAGGGUUGUGUUACCAUUGGCUGUGGAAACAAUUUUUUGUGAGGAAGGUCUAAGGGGUGAAACCUGUCUAGAAUCAAAAGUCAUAUGAUCUGUAGCACCAGAAUCAAUUAUCCAUGCACUAUUAAUAACAGGUGUAAAAGUAUUUAAAAACUUACCACCAUGAUCAGUAGCGGCUACCAAUGCAGAGGCUUUCUCAGCAACAUUAGCCUCUGUUUUUAUUUCUGCAACAGUUGUAGUCGAGGUUUUCUUGGAAUCCUUCUUCCGUUGAUCACGAUUAUUAUAAUUAAUAACAAAGUGUUGAUAGCCUAAACAUGAUCUAAAGGUCCAUGGUUCAAACCCUCGGUUCCUUAUUGUUUUCCUGGUCAUACCAAAAGUCGUUGCUUUGAAAUUGUGGGAUAUCCAAACUGGUGGGACCAGUCUUAUUGAAGUGAGUGCAUUUGAAGGUUGACUUAUCAAUAUUAGGGCUUGUCUUAGGAUGGUUGAUCGCUGUCGGACUACCAUAGCGACAAAAUAUCCAGGAUUUCAGUUCCCUAACUCUGAUACCAUCUUCAAAUUGAUAAAUUGUAGUUUUUUCAUUCAUACUUUCAUUCGUCCAUGUACAAAGUAUAUAUAGAGGGUAAUCAUCAUUCUAAGAAUAGGAAAGAAUGAUAUAAGGAAAUAAUAACUAAUAUCCUAAUAUCUCAAUUUUCCUAAUAUCUCAAUAUUCCUAGUAUCUCAAUAUUCCUAAUAUCUCAAUAUUCAUAAUAUCUCAACUUUCCUAAUAUCUAAACAUUCCUAAUAUCUCAAAACUAAAUGAUAUAAGGAAAGCAUUCCUAAUAUCUCAACAAACUUUAACUAAUUUAUUUUUUUACAUUUAGUCAAAUUUAUUUUUUUACAUUUAGUCAAAACUACAUGUAAUUAAUUUUUUUAAUUUAAAAAUUGAAGGAAGUGAAACUAUUUUAAGGUUAUUUAAUUAAAAGGGUAAUUGAAAAUUUAAUUUUGAAAAUCUAACCCUUCAUUUUUUUUUAGUCUUAUUUUAAUAAAAAUGUCCUUAUUGUUUUCUUGUAACAAUAAAAAUUUCUUUUAAAACAUAUUGUAAAUAUUUGAAACAGUUAAGGACUUUUAUGUCAAAAAUAGGUUACUUAAAAAAACAUGAAAAUUGAUAAAUUCAUAAAUAUGGAGAGAAUUUUAUCCCUUUUAAUAAAUUAUUUUAAUAUUUAUUUUACUUUCUUUAAAAAAAAAACUGUAAUCUAUAUUUAUAUAUAAAAAUUCCUACAUUUUAUACCAAGCUUCUAUGUUUAAAAACAAAAAAAAUAGAGAAUACAUCCAAACAUCACUUUAAGUUUUAUCAUAUUUGAUUUUUCUUGACAUUUUUCAUGAGAUUUCAAAUUCUUUUUCCCUUGAUCUCUACAAAUAUCUAUAAUCCAAACAAGAUUUAUAGUGAUUUAGGGAAUCCAAACACAACUUGUACUAGAGGUGUGGGACAAUGAAAUCGAUUGGCCAAUCUGGUCUUUCCUAAUCCUAGCUAAGACCCUUUCUCAUUCUUCCCUAAUUACAAACAAUUCGAGCUGGAGCGACAAGGACGGACCACCACUACUUCUUCCAGAGCCAUUGAUUGAAUUUUCUAGAGAAGAAGGUAACAUGUACAACAUUAAUGUGCACGGUAGAAAUUCUGAUUUGUGAGUGGUAAUGGCGACUGCCGUCUUUUAAUUAGGAUUGUCAGGGGGACAAGCCUUGUUUUAAUGACCAAAUAGUACAUCAUGUUAAAUGUUGAUCAUUAAACCUUUCCUUCAAGAAUUUUCAGAUCUUCAACUUACUGUCUUCUAAAGUCUUCAAUCUUUGAAUCUAGGCUUGAAUAGCUCCUGACGAUUUGAAAUUCGUUUCUUUUAGGUUUUGAGAAAGUAUUAAGAAAAAAAAUAUAUUCAAGAAAAUAAUUUUUUUUAUAUUUCAUUUCUAUAUUUUAAAAUAAUUUAUUGAUUUUGAAUCAAUUUUUUUUAUUUUUCUUCACUUAUUAUUUUCUUUUACUUUUUCCCUUUAUUUUAUUUCCAUCACAUUUUUCCUCAAAAUUUCCAAAAACCAAACAUAGUCUUAGGGUAUGUUUGGUUCCAGAGAUUUUGAGAGAAAAUGCAAAAUAAAAAAAAACAUAAAAUAAAAAUAGAGGAAAAAAAGUGAAUGAAAAUAAAAAAUAAGUUUAAAUUUAAUAAAUAAUUUUUAUAUGUUUAUUUGAACUCAUUUCACUUAUUUCUCUUUUUUAUAACAAUAUUAAAUAAUUUAAAAACAUAUAAAAUUUUAAUCAAUUUUAAUUAUAUAUAUAUUUUUUUUUAUUUUUCACAGUAAAACAAAACAUAAGAUAGUAUUUUUUUUUUUCUCUUUUCUUAGUAUUUUUUAGUAACCAUUUUUUUUUUUUUUUUUUGAGGACACACUUUUUUAGGGAUUGACAAAGACAUAGGGAUGGUUUUUCCCUCACUUCUAAUUCUUAAUUAAAGUUAAUGCUUGAGGAGUUUUUGACAAUGAUUUAUAUAGUUUUUUAUGUUAAUUUUUUUAUUUUUUAUUUUUUAUCUUGGAGUAUUGGAAGAGUAUUAAUGAUGACAACAGGGCAUAUUUUUCCAUGCGCCCCAUCCUCCUGGGUUUAGUCCGGAUUUGAGAAUUCUUUUAAAACUUGAGAUGGGUUCAGAUAUGACUUUAUCCCAUCCCGUCCAAUUAUGUAUAAUAUUAAAUAAAAAAAUAUUUUAAUUGAUGUUUUUCAUUUUCAACUUUUUUUCAUAUAUAUAUAAUAUCACUUUUCAUAAAAAGAAAUUAUAAACAUUUAUAAUAUUUAUUUAGUUAUAAACUGUGUUUAUUUUUAAUAGAAUCUAAAUUUUAAAAGUAGAAAAAAAUUAAAAAUUGAAAAAAAAAAAUUAAACAAGGCAAACCUGCCUUGUUUAAAAAAAAAUUGUUGAUAGGGACGACAAUUAAUUUAAAUAAACAAGAAGGGUGGGAUGGAGUGAGCCAUCUCGGACUCACCAUUUUGUCAUCCCUAAAGAGUAUACUUAGAUAAUUUUAAAAUUAUUUUUAAUGAAAACUAAUAUUUAUCUUUUUAACUAUCAAAUUCACAAUUUUAUUUACUAGAAUGGUUUACUUACUUCAUUUAAUUUGAAGAUAAUUUAUUUUACUCCAAUAUGGUUCCCAUGUGGAAUAAAUUUUAAUCUAAUUUAAGGGAAUUAUUGUGUAAGGAUAAAUUUUAUUUUGUCACUAUCUCAUAUUAUAAGUAUGUAACAUAGUAAUUUUUUUAAAAAAUAUUUGGAUAAAAGAUGAAAUAAUUUUGUAAAUUUAGUCCUUCCCAUGUUUUUUUUUUUAAAGUAUCUCAUUUUUUACAUAAAUGUAAUUUGUCAUUUGUCAUUUGAAGUAUUUACACGUAAAUUUUUUUUUUUUAAAUGUUAUUUCUACAAGAAAAUAAUGAAGACAAUUUUACCCAAAUAAAACUAAAAAAAUGAUAAAAGGUUAAAUUUCAAAAAUUGGGUUUUUAAAUACUUUUUUAAGCAAAUAACCCUUUUUUAUUUGGCCAUGAAUUAACAUAUGUUAUUUCAUAAGUUGUCCUUGGAUUACACUUAGGUGGUUAAUAAAUGAAGAAUUUAAAAAUAAAUGAGUAUUAAUUUAACUAAAGUUUAUCACAUUUGAUGUUUCUUCAUAUUUUAAAUGUGAGAUUUUGGAUGAUCUUUUCCCUCUGCAACCCAAACAAGAUUUUAGGGAUUUAGAGAAUCCAACACAGCUUUGUACCGAUUUUCAUAGAUGUGGUCAUAUGCAGGUAGGGUGGGACAAUGAACCCACCAGUCUGACUUUUCCUAGCCAGGGACCUUUCUCAUUCUUCGCUAACUACAAACAAAUCUAGCUGGAAUGAUAGAGACCAUAGAUGCUUCUUCCACAUCCAUUCAUUGAAUUGUUUUUAAUAUUUCAUGAAGAAUUAUGUUUUAAGGUGAGACCCGAUAAUUGAUCCAACAUCCUCGUAUCCUUAUAUUUGAGUUCAAGACCUAAUGGUGAAUUGAAAGUUAAAUCGAAGAACAUUAAUUUUCAAAAUUUCUUAAAUUGCCUUUAUGGAAGAAGGAAAAAAAAAAAAAAUUAUGUUUCCACCUCUCUUUCAUUCUCUCUCUCCAUUCACUUUCUCUCUUGUUCGUUCACCUCGCCUUUCUCUCACAUAUUUAUUCGUCGGAGUCAUGGGAUCAUGUAGAUUGUUGCUAGUUGAGGAGGUGGCACCAUUUCCAUCAUUCAUUGUUCUCCCAAAAAUCAUAUCCAACCAAUUAAAUAUUGGAGAUGAAUAGUUAAAAACUAUUAUUACCAAAUGCAUUUUUUAAAUAACUCAUAAGUGUUUUUUGUCUAUAGAAUAUAUAAUAAAUAUUUUUUAUAAACACCUCAUAAAAUAUUAUUAUUAUUCUUAUUCUUAUUCUUUAUAUAUAUAUAUAUAUAUAAACUAUUUUUUUAUAUAAAUAUUUUUAAGAUUAUAAACAGUUAUUUAAAUAUUUUCUUUAUUUAAGGUUACAUUUAUUUCAUGCAAAGAGGUAUAUAAAGAGAAUAUAAUGGAGCACAAAUUAGAUGAAAAUCACCUUAAAUAGGGAUUUAAUAGAAAACAUGAAAUUAUGAGAAAAAAAAUAAAUGAAAUUUAAGAUAAAGAAUCUAAGAAAAUAAAUUAAAACUAAUGACAUAAAAAUCAUAAAAUCUUCAAAAUUAUAAUUACAACUAAAAAUUUUAAAUUUAAUAACUCGAUAAUUUAAAUUAAUGAUUUUUCUAUUAAAAAAAAGUACAAAUGUUACAAAAAUAUUUUUCGUUCAUUUUUAAUUCUAUUUAAAUAUGAAUUUUUAAUCUCCGCUAAAAUUAUUUUUAUAAAGGUAAAAUAGUAAUAUAUAUGUAAUAAACACUUUAAAUAUGAUUAAUUUUAAUUUUAUUUUCUAUGUUUUAAUUUUGGUAGAGAAGGUCUUAAUGACAUAGUUUAAUGAAAAAUAUUGAUAAUUUGUCUUCAACAGUUAUUAUAUGUUGUUUAUAUUGUUUUAAGUCAUUUGAAACAAUAACACUAAUGUGUUAUUCAUUUACGUCAAUUUGAUUUCACAAAAAAUGUAGGACCUAAAUAUUGUGGUUAAUCCUCCUUCAUCGGGGAUGAAAAUAUGCUAAGAAAUAAUAUUGUUAAAACUACUUAUAUGAAAUAUGCAAUUACAAAUUUUGGAUAAUGAAAUUUAAAAUUCGAAUUGAAAUAAUUUUAGAUGACAAGAAAAAAAAUGGUUCAAAAUCGAUUAAAAUUCUACACAAAUAGUAGUUUUGUACAUCCCUUGUACAAUUAAUACAUUUACAUCGAACCGUUAAUGUAACAUUUUUGCACAAUGGUGCAAAUUUCAUAUAUUUGUAUGAAUAAUGUAUUCAUAUAGAUAUGUGGAUCAUGUUUCCAAUAAUUUGGUUCAAAAAAAGGUGAAAGACUUAAAAGAAUAAAUUUUUUCUCCAAAUAUUAUUAAUGAGGUAAGUAUUAAAAUUAUCGUACGUAAAUUAAAUAAAGACUAUAAGAUGGGUGUGUGAUGAAGGAACGUGUAACAUGAGAGUGUAAUGGGGUGAUAAGAAAAAAAAUGGAUUGAUCGAAAUCCUUCAAUAAAAGUAUUUGUUACAUCUCACAUUAGAUAAAAGAGAAAUUUUUUGGCAUUAUAUAAAUAUGAGUCGUUACAUUAAUCCUCUUUAAUAUUUUUUAUAUUAUAAUCAAAUAUGAAAAAUCAUUUGCAAAUCAAAUUUCUAGGCUUUAGUAAUUUAAUUAGAUCAAAAAUUAAUAUUCAUGUCUGAAACUUGCACGUGCCUCGCAUUUAAUAUUUUGUGAGCCAUAGUUAUGACGUGUAUAAUCAAUGAAUCGAUAAAUGUACAUGUCUAGAGCAUCGGUAGUGGAGAUAGACUAUACUUUAUGACAACACAUUUUAAUUGCCCAUUUUGAAUUAAUUUUAAUUAUAAAUUUCAAUGUAAUGAUUUUUUUGCUUCUUAAAAAUAUGUUUGAUUUAAAAAAAAAUCAAAAAAAAAAUGAAAGAAAAUAUCAGUGAAAGAAAGUUUAAAAAUAGAUCUAAAAUUAAUAAAUUUUCUUUAUAAUUUAUUUUAACUUUUUUUUAUAUAUAAAAAUUCAAUAAUUUGAAAAUAUAUAAAAUUUUAAUUAAUUUUAAUUAUAUUUUAUUUUCUUUUGUAUUUUUAUAAUAAAAUUAAAAAAAAAAAUCAUUUUUUAAUGCUUUUUCAGAAACCAAAAAUAGCUUUAAAAAAAGGAUGUUAGUUCUCAUGUUGACAUUCAAACAAAUAGCUAUCUCAAGACCAUUGAAUAUGUCUUAAUUGGCUUAUCCAGAAGGUUUUAUUUCAUCCACCCAAAGUGGGUUGUUGCCCCCACUAACUCGUCCCUAUUACAUUCAACUCAUGGAUAUGAAAUUCAAAUUGAAUUCCAUAACCUCUACCUCACAUCCUUUUCAAACCACAAGCCACUUCCAUAUAAACUCAGUGCUGAUACACCAAAAAUCAUACAACCAAAAUGGAGGGGAAAAUCAUAUACAUGGUGGCGGUGCUGCUAUCUUUAGUGGCUUGUGCCGCAGCCCAACAGUGCGGCCGCCAGGCCGGUGGCCGGACUUGUGCCAACAACCUCUGCUGCAGUCAGUAUGGCUACUGCGGAACAACGGCUGAGUACUGUUCUCCAUCCCAAAGCUGUCAAAGUAACUGCCAAUCCGGCGGAGGUAGCAGUGGUGGCGGCGGCACAGGUGCUAGUGCAAGUAACGUGAGGGCUACUUACCAUUACUACAAUCCGGAGCAACAUGGAUGGGACUUGAAUGCAGUGAGCGCCUACUGCGCCACUUGGGAUGCCAACAAGUCCUUGGCAUGGCGCAGCAAGUAUGGGUGGACUGCUUUUUGUGGACCUGCUGGCCCUACUGGCCAAGCUGCCUGUGGCAAGUGCUUGAAGGUAAGAUCAAUCAUAUGAAACCGGUUCCUCAAUUUCUCAUGUAUGUUUGUUUUUUCUUAACAUUUUGUUGAAAUUUAUAUGUUUUUAUAAAAUUUAAUCACAUUUAGUGUGAUAUCCCACGUUGAAUAAGUACGAGCUUAUUUUAAUCUUGUACACACAUUUUAAAAUCGUGAGGUUCAUUUGGAUGAACAGCAGACUACAUGGAUGAAUACGGGUUUUGAAAUCUUUAUAAUAAAAAUUUUCAAGUGUGAGAAAUAUUAAAAACACUUUAUAAACUUACCAUCAAACACAUUCUAAACUUGUUUAUAAAUAGUACCAUGAUUGCUUAAUCUAAUCAUUCUUUCUCGAAGUGCUGGAGCUUCUCCAUACCUCUGUUAUUUGUUUUCCGGGUCAAAUUCUUCUUGGUAUCCAUCUCUAUCCUGAAUUUGGAGGGUCCAGUAGCGAGAAACUCUAGUAAUUUCUUAGAAAAAAAGAAACUAUUAGUAAUUAAAGCCAGUAAUUCAAACUACAAUAUCUUUCGCAAAUAUUUAUUUAGACAACAAUUUUAUUUUUAUCCUACAAAUUUUAAUUUUGAUAGCGACUUUAUGUGAACUGGCCAUAAUUGCAGGUCACAAAUACUGGCACGGGGACACAAGCAACAGUGAGAAUUGUGGAUCAAUGCAGCAAUGGAGGACUGGAUUUGGAUGUCGCAGUAUUCAACCAACUGGACACUAAUGGGGUUGGCUAUCUCCAAGGUCACCUUAUAGUCAACUACCAGUUCGUGGACUGUGGUGAUUAAAUCACUACUCUUCUUAUUGGUAUGAUCAAAUAGUAAGAGAUCUUGUCACCAAGAGAAAUAAACAUGAAGCGAAUAGCUUUGUGGAAUAUUUAAUAAAAUGAUGUCAAGUCUAAGCUUGACUUCACCCUAAAUAUGCAAGAGACGUUGAAAAAUUACACCAUCUGUCUACCACAAGCUUUCAUAUCCAUAUCACAACAAACUAAUAUAAGUUAAUCCUUUAGCUUCUUCAACUAUCAUCAUUGGAUUGAUUCUUCAAAUUAGACUUCCCGAUACCCAUCCAAGUCGAGGAAUAAAUAAUUCUUAGAAUAAUCAAUACAUGUAGGUCAUGUUUGAUACAUGAUAAUGAGGAAUGAGAAUGAUUUUUUUUUUUUUUUCAGAUCUAUUUUUUUAAAAUAUAAAUUAAUUUGAUAAUUCUAAUUCUUGUAUUUGGAUGUAUAUAAAAAUAUAAGAUUAAAAUGAUUAUUUAUUUCGGUUUUAAUAUUAAGUAACAAAACAACAAGAAUGAGAGUUAAAAAAAAAGGGAAAUAAAUUGAAAAUAAUAUUUAUACAUAUAGUUGAAUGAAAAUAAUAUUUUAUUUUCAUUCAAAAAAAAAAAAAACUCCCACAUUAUAUAUAGUUUAAAAUAAUUAAAAAAAAAACAUUUUUUUUGCUAAAUAAUAAACCUAUUUUAGCUUAUGAUUUAAAAACAUUUAAAAAAAAUUAAUACUAUUGUUUGGUUGUUGUUAUUAAGAAACAAUUUUUAAAAAAUAAUAAGUUUAAUCAUUUUUAAAAAUAGUAUUAACCAUUAUUAAUUUUAAAUUAUUAUUAUUAUUUAUUUUUAACAAAAUAAAUCAAUUAUGCUUUUAUAAGAUGUUAAUAUCCAUAUUUUUUUAUAAUAUUUAUUAAAAAUAUAUAAUUUAUGAUUUUAUUAUAAUAUUACUAUUAAUAUUUUAUUAAAAAUAUUUUUAAAUUUAUUUGUAAUUAAAAAAAUUAAUAAGACUUGAAUUAAAUUUAUUUUAUAUUAUAUAAAUUAAAUUUAUAAUUUGUUUAUUAAAAAAUCAAAAUAAUAAUGAUUUUUAUAAACAACUCAACCAAAAAAGUUUUUGGUUUUUUAAAUGUUUAAAAAGUGUUUUUAAAAAAUAACUUGUAUAAAGGAAUCAAAAUACCUUCAUUCUAAGAAUGAACUGAAAUCCACUUUUAAAUGAAAUUUUAUUUGUUUUGUUAUCAUUAGUAACUUCAUUCUUAUCAUCACUUAAAUUAUUCAAACAAAUAAAUGAAUGAGAAAAUGAAUAAGAUGAUCAUUCCUGACCUCAUUCCCACAUACCAAACAUAGUUGCAGUGAAAUUGUACUAAAAAAAUUCAUUACAUAAAAACUUGCUCUUAUACUAAAAUGUUGAUUACAAUAGACACGAUCAAAAUGGUAAUGAAGUACAAUUCAUCGACUAUUUCACUAACAAAAAUGUAUAUCAUCAUAUAUGAAAUUGGUGAACUUGCUAUUACACUAAAAUUCAUUUUUUUUAGGGAGAACUGUGUUUUGGGCCCAACUGAGCCCAAAAAUUAACAUUUGGUCCAUAUAUCAUGCAUAUUUAAGCACAAUACCCAAACAAAGUAUGAAAAUUAAGAUGAAGGAUAUUAUAUUUCAUUAAUCCUUAAAAUGCCCUUAACCCUUACAUAGGCACAAGUGACUGUGAAUUUCAAAUUUUUUGUGUUUUUUUUCCCUUUUCUAUUCCCUAUUAAGUAUUACUCAUUUCUAAUUUUUUUUUCUUUUUUUUCCAAUCUAUAUUUCUAUUUUAUGUCAAAUAAAAAAUAAUAAUAUUUUUUUGUUUUUCAUUUUUAAAGAUAUUGAAUCUUUUUGCUCUUAUUAUAAGCAAUGAUAAAAAUUUUGGGAUUUUUCAUCCAAAUAUUUUUUAUCUUUUUUUAUUUAUCUUUUAGUUUAAUUUUCAUUUUUUAUUUUAAAUUUAUAUUACCCUUUCAUUUAUAUUUUUCUCUUAUUUUUAAUUAUUUUUUAUAUUUUCUAAAUUAACCAUAUUUUAAAAAAAUUUAAAAUUAAUUAUCACUUCACUUUAUUAUAUAUAUCCUUUUAGCUUUUUAAUUUUUAAUAUUUUUAUUUUAAAAUUUUUAAAAAGAUAAAUUUAUUGAAAAAAAUAACUAAGAUAUGAAGUUCUAAGAUUAUAUUAAUAAUUUUUCUUAUCUAGAUAGACUAAUGCAAAGUAUUUUGACUCACAACAGGAAAAUUGUCAAUACAAUUUUUUAGUUAAACUUUAGAAAUUAAAUUUCAAAUAAAAUAUAUUAUAUAAAAUUUUAUCUAAAAAUUAUUGAAAGUAGUAUUUAAUUUUUUUAUUAACUUUCAAACUUAUCUAAUUUUUUACUUGAAAAGUAAUAGAACAUGUUUACAAAAAAAAAAAUUAGUUUUCAUUUUUUAAAUAAAUGAGUAUAAAUAUAUUAAAAGAAUUAAAGAUAAUCUUAGUAAAAAAUUUGAUAAAUAUGAUUAUAAUUUUAAAUAUAGAUUCAUUUGGAUAAAAUUUUACAAAAAAAAAAGUAGUGGAAAGAAAGAACAUUGCUAAAACUACAAAAACAAAAUAUGCAAUUACAAAAUUUUGAUGAUGAAAUUUAAAAAUAAAAUUCGAAACAAUUCUUGAGUGAGAGAAUUUGAGUGGGGGAAAAAUCUUUGAGUGGAAAAAAAUGGGAAAGUUUUUCAAAAUCACUUAAAAUCCUUAACAAAAAGUAGUCUUGUACACCCUUGUAUAAUUAGUAAAUUUGUCUUGUACAGUUAGUGUGAUACCUUUGUACAAUAACUCAAAUUUCAUACAUCAUCUCAUAAAUAUCUGACAAUAGAUCGGUUAACCAUGUUUGCAUUGGUUUGAUUUUAAAAAAGAAGAAAAAUUGUUGUAUAAUUUUGUUUUACAAUCAUCAUAGGUGAGAUACCUAUUCAAAUGACCAUAUACAAGUUAGAUAAAGUGCAUGAGAUGAAUGUAUGCUUAACCAAUAUGUGUAAAGAAUGUCAUUUAUCAUCAGUUAGGGGAAAUAAACAAAUAAAUUUUUUAGAAUCACUUAAAAUCUUUCACAAAUAGUAGUCUUGUACACCCUUGUACAAUUAGUAUAUUUGUCAUGUACACUUAGUGUAAAUACAUUGUACAAUGACUCAAAUUCCAUAUACCCCCUACUCAAUGUGUAACCAUAGGUAGGUUAACCAUGUUUUCAUUGGUUUGUUUCAAAAAAUAGUGGAAGAUGGAAAAACAAAAUUUUCUCUCAAACAUCAUUAGUGGGAUAAGUAUUUGAAUUAUUAUGUGCAAGUUAAAUAAAGUGCAUAAGAUGAGUAUGUAAUAGAGGAAUGUGUACCUUAAGAGUGUGCAAUCCUUAUAUGACAAGACAAAAAAAGAAAAGUUGUCCAAAAUUGAUUAAAAUCCUUCACAAAUGAUAGCCUUGUAUACCCCUUGUAUAGUGAGAACAUUUGUUUUGUACAGUUAAAACAUUUGUCUUGUCCAAUUAAACAUUUACCUUGUACAGUUAGUAUAACACCCUUGUACAAUGGUGCAAAUUUCAUCCAUAUGCAUACAUUAUGUGCCACAUAUGAUGUGUGAACCAUGUUUCCAAUGGUUUGAUUUAAAAAAUGAUAUAAAACGUAAAAACAAAAUUUUUCUCUAAACAUCAGUAUUAAGGUAAGUAUUUAAAUUGUUAUAUGCAAGUUAAAUAAAGUACAUGAAAUAAAAGAAUUUGUGGUAGGAGAACGUAUAAUCCUUAGAUGACAAGAAAAAAAAAAUUGUUCAAAAUGUACAGUUUUAUACACCCCUUGUGCAAUUAGUGUAAUAAUCUUGUAUAAUGGUAUAAAUUUCAUAUAUAUGUAUAAAUUAUAUUUACAUAAGUGUGUAAACUAUGUUCCCAAUAGUUUGACAUUUAAAAUAAUUAAAACAAACAAAACAUUAUUUUAUUUUAUUUUCAAUGCAAAAUCUAAUUAAAAAUAAGACAAAGAAAUUACUUAAAAACUAUUAUUUAAGCCAAGUUUAUUUAUUUAUUUCCUUUUAUUUUUGGAAAUAAAGAAAAAAGAAUAAAAAAUUUAUUUAACUAUAAGAAAUAUAAAUAUAAGAUCAGUUAGAAAAUACCAAAUUUAUUUAUUUAUUUAUUUAUUUAUUUAUUUUAUUUUUGGAAUUAAAUAAAAAAAAUAAAAAAAUUUAUUUAACCAUAAAAAAUAUUGAUAUAAGAUAUGUUAAAUAAUAGAAAUAACCUCAAAUUUAUUUACUUAUUUCAUUUUAUUUAUUUAAAUUAGAAACUAAUUUAUUUUAAUAGAUUAAAAUAUGCACAAUUGAUUUAUUACUUUGUUAAUUAUGGAUAUAUUAAAAUUUUCUAUUAGACAAAAAAUAAAUAAAGAAAAUAAAAUUAAAAAGAGUAAUAAAUAUAUAUAAUUUAGUUAUUUAAUUGUUUUUCAUGUAAAAGAUAGUCCCACAAAAAACACAUAAUUGAUCAAUUUCUUUGUUUAAUUGUAAACAUACUAUAUUUUUUUUAUUUUAUUAUUAAAAUAACUAAUGGAAAAAAAUAAAAAUAGAUAAUAAAUGAAAUUUAAUUCUUUUUAUUAUUUUCAUAUAAAAAAUAGUAGUAAACAAAGCUUUCAAUUUUUAUUUUUAAAAAUAGUUUUCAUUUUUUAAUUAAAUGUUUUUUCAAAAAGAAAAUAUAAAAAAUAUAAAUCAUAUUACCAUUUUUUUAGAAAGUAUUUUUUAAAAUAGUUUUUGAACAUAAUUUUUCUUUAUUUAUAAUUUAAAAUAGAAAAUAAUGUUGAUUUUUAAUUAUUUAUAAAUUAAAAAAUUAAAAAAAAAUGAAAAAUCCAAAUUGUUAAAAUAUAAUUAUUAUGGUUGUAUGAAUAGUGGUGCAAUAAAGAUAAAAAAAACUUAUGUGAAAGGUCAUCGGGUAAUUUAGUCCAUCACUAUUUUAUAUCCUUAAAAAGGUAAUAUAUAAAAAUUUGAAAGAUAUAUUGGUCUUUUAACAUCUUAUAUCAUUUCCAUCAAUUAUGGAAGUUAUAUGGACCAAAACAGAAUUCUCUCUUUUUUUUAUAAUACAUUUCCAAAUAUGAAGAUUGAAAGUCGCCUUAUAAGUUAGGGGAAAAAUAAUUUUACCAUAUCAAAAAAUAUACAUGUAUGAAUAUUUUCCAGCUAGGAAAUAUUUGUGAAUUAAGCUUGUUUCCUUAUAAUUUAGAUGAUUGAUUAUUUUUUGCAAGUAGAGAUAUUCUAUGCUACAAAUUAACUACUUCCUUUUUUCUAUUUCUAAGUAACUCUCCUACAAUUUGUAUAUAUUUAGUUUAAUUCUAUUGAAAAAAAAAACAAUAAUGGAGAAAUUCUCCAAACCCCAAAUAGUCAACAUGGUAUCAAAAAAAGAAAACUAACACAAUUGAGAUUCAUCUUCCCACCAAAGAGCCUUCAUUGCUCAAUUAUAGCUAGACAUUCAUUAUUUAGUUGUUAGCUUGCUCAAUUUUCAUUACUGAGUAUAAAUUUUGUUAAUCCCAAAUCAAACUUAAUUAUUGGUAACUCAACUUUCUUUCAUAAUCUUUUCAAACAUGUCUAAAAUCAAUGAUAAUAUAUCGAUAACCCAUAAUACAACUCCUUGAGACUAUCAGAAUGUCUCUACUUCCUUCAAACUUAAUGGUGGAAAUUAUCCAUAAUGACUCAAUGAAAACAUAUAUUAAAAGAGAGAGAAAGCCAAGUCAUCUUCUUGGUUCUUUGAUCGAUGAGGAUGAUCUGAAAUUUAUCUCAAUUCUUAGGUUAUGUCUUGGUUUAUUGAACUCUAUGCAACCAAAAAGAAAUCGUACUUGUGUUUCCUCAAACCUACUCUAAGGUGUGGUAUGUUACUUAGAUGUAUGGAUUUAAAGACAAAAAUCCAUAAUGCCAAAAAAGGUACCUUAUCUAUAACAAAGUAUUGCAAUUUUAUAAAAGGAUCACGAUUUGAGUUGGAUCAUAGUCAAAGUUUUAAGGUGGAACGUAGUAAGAAUGUAAUAAUAUACCAACAGUUUUAUAACAUAGUAUGUCUAUUAGUUAUCUCCAAUAUCUCAUUGUUUUCAGAGAAAAUUUUCAAAACUACUUUAUCUUUUGACAUAGGGAAAGAUUAUUAGUUUGUAAAUAAAAAUCACGAAAAAUGAUUUUCUCUUGUCAUAAUAAUUGUAUUUGUAUGGUAAGUAAGAGUAACAAAUUAUGAAAUUCUCAUUGUCACUAACCCUGAAUCAAUUAAUCAUGUUUAAACUCUAGAGAAGAAAUUGCAAUCAACCUCCAAAGUAUCUUAAAAAGGAUAUAUUGCUUUAUCUUGAAUCACUGAAAACCAAAUCUCCAUAAAACUAUAUCACUAACCGAUUGGAUUACAAUAGCUAUUCCUUCUAGCCUUUGUGAAUAUGUAUGAUAAAUUCUAAGACUAUGUUUGAUUUUAAAAAAUUUGAAGGAACACACAAUGGAAAGAAAAUAUAGAGGAAAAAUAGACAAAAAGAAAAUGUGAAACAAAAUAAAAAAUAGAUUUAAAGUCAAUAAAUCAUUUCACUUAUUUUAAGCCUUUGAUAUAAAGAUUUAAUAAUUUAAAAAUACACAUAUUUUUAAUUAAUUUUAAUUAAAUUUAUUUUCUUUGAUAUUUUUUCAUAUUGCAGUCAAAUAUGAAAAAAAUAUUUUAAUUAUUCUUUUUCUUUUCUUAGUUUAAAAUAUUGGAAAUUUGCCAAGGGGGACUUAUUGGAAAAAAAAAUUCAAAGCCAUAACAUUUUCAGUUUGAGCACUGGAAACAAAACUAGAGAUUGAAAAUUAGCCAACUACAAAUGACACUUCGAAACAAAAUUUAAUUGAAUUUUUUUUUUUUUUUUGGAAUUCACUUUAUUCAAUUACAUGAAACUUACUAGAUUUGAUUUAUUAGGUAUUGUGGCCGAUGAAAGCGGAUAAGAGAACCUAAGUAACAUUAAGAGUCUGUUUGAUAAUGAUUCUAGAAAGCGUUUUUAGUUUAAAAAGUAUUUUAUUUAAAAAAAAAUGAAGCGUUUAGACAAAUUUAGGAAAUAUUUUUAAAAUAUAUAAAAAACCAUUUACAAUAUUGGAAAAUCAUUUGUAGUGGUUUUUGGAUAAAAUACUUUAUAGGUGAUUCUCCUUAAAACACUUUUAGAAAAAAAAAUUUAUUAAAAAUACUUUAAAUAGAAACACUACCAAACAUACUCUAAGAAUAGUGGAUUAUUGUCACAAAGUAAGACAAGAUUAUGUGGUGGUUGAUGGAAGAAUUAUGCCAAAGGCCACUAUAUAAACUAACAAAUGGCUAUUAUCUCUAGGAUCAUGCAUCUAUUAUUAAGAGAUUUUGUACUUAAAUCAAAAGGGGGCUACUUAAUUUUUUUUUUCAUUCAUAUAUAAAUUUUUUAUUAUUUGACUAUUUAUAAUAAAAUUUGGUGGAACCAUUAACCAUCUCUAAAACAUUAGAAAGUUUUCUUAGGAAGAAAAAUAGUUUUCUUUGUUAAAUUAAAAUUAGAAUAAUAUAUGGAAUAAAUAGAUGUUGCUGCCUUAAAAAAUUAUUAUUAUUUUUAUUCUUAUUUUAUAUAAUUAAAUUAAGAUACUUAUAAACUAAUAAUUUGAAAAAGAGAUCUCAUGGUACUAAAUCUCAUAUAAAACUUGUUUUUUAUGUUAGAAUUAUCGUGAAGCUUGCUUGAGGCCAUAAAGGGGGUUUUUUAAGUUUGCAAACCAUAUUUUUAGUUUUUGAUUUCCUAAAACCUAGUGGAAGUUGCAUAUAUACCUCUUCAUCUAAGUCUCCAUAAAAAAUUGUUGAUAUCAAGUUGGCGAGCAUGCCAAUUUUGAUUUGCAACAAUAGCAAGUAAGCAACACAUGGUUGUGAGGUUAGUUACUAAUGCAAAAGUCUCUUGGUAAUCAAUUCCUUCUUGUUGAUUAUAGCCCUUAGCUAUUAAGCGAGCCUUGUAAUGUUCAAUACUACCAUCUAGAUUAUGCUUAACUUUUAAACCCACUUGUAUCCUAUUGACUUUUUAUUUUGAAGCAUAGGUGUAAGAGUUCAUGUUCGAUUCUCCUUCAAUGCUUUAAUUUUUUCUAUCAUUCUUGUCUCUAGUUUGCAUCAAGCAUUCUCUAUUGAAAAUCUUUUGGUUUUGAAAUAUGGAAGAUUGAUACUAGAAAAGAAUGAUGAGAUAGAGAAAAAAAUUUAAUAAGACAAAUAUUUAUUCAAAUGAUGAAAGGUAAUUACAAGACAUGAAGAAGACAACCUUUGAGAGGGUGGAUCAUAGGUGGCCAUCCUACAAUAAUAAGCAGUAAGAUAAGAUGGAGGAGGACAAGACUCACAGGUUUGAUUAAUAAAUUUUCUAUUUUGAGGAUGAUGUUCUUGAAAAACAAGUGUCUAUAGGGGGUGAUAUCGAAAAGAGUGGAUCAAUGGCUUCAUUAUUUUCAUGUUUAUUACCUUCACAAGUAGUAUCAACCUUUAUGUCAAUGAGUUGAUCUUGUUCAACAAUGGGAUAUGGUUGGACAUGUUGAUUAGAAGAUAAGUGCAUAGGUUUUCCAAAGGGAAAAUGGUCUCAUGAAAUUAGACUUCUCUAGAAACAAAAAAAAAAAAAAUUAGUAUUGAGAACAUAAAACUUGUAUCCCUUUUGAGCAUUUGGGUAGCCAAAAAAAAUACAAUGCAUGUGAUGCCUAGUGUUGAAUUUUGUUUUUGAUGUACUUAUGUUGGUAGCAUAACACAAGCAAUAAAAAAAAUUUAGAUGUGAAUAGGAGGGAAUGAAUCUAAAAAAACAAUUCAUAAGGUAUUUUGCUUGAAAGUACAAAGUUUGAUUUAUGAGAUAGGUUGCACUCAACACACUCACCCCAAAAAAAAAUUAGAAGACUUUCUUGAAAAUAUAAGGCUCGAGAAAUAGUAAGUGUCCAUGUUUGCUUUUUACAACUAUAUUCUACUGUGAAGUGUCAACACAACUUAUUUGGUGAAUAAUAUCCUUGGUUUAAUAAAAUUCUUACAUGUCAAAAUCCAACUAAUUUUCAAAACGAAUAAUUUUAAUUAUUUUGUUGAAUUGAGUUUCAAGAUAAAAAUAAAAGGAUUGCAGUAGGGAUCGAGUCCAGUUUUACACUACAUAAAAACCCAAUUACAUUUCUUAAAAUCAUCCACAAUUGUAAGAAAAUAAUGGGAGCCAGAUAAAGAAGUAGAAUGAUAUUUUCCCCUUAUAUUAUAAUGAAUUAAAUCAAAAGGUUCAACAAAAAUUUUAUUUGCUCAAAUGAAAAAGGGAGAUGAUUUUGCUUAGUAGGUGGACAAAUUUCACCUACUAAGACAAUUAUGACUAGGAUAUCCUAAUCAUAGGUGUCAUACAUUCGAAAAUGAAGAAGGCAUAGCUUGCAAACACUUUGGUGUUGGAAACUUGAAGAUGAAGAGGUCAUCAUGUAAUUUAUUUGCUCCAAUGUCUUAUUCAAGAAUCAGAUUAACAUUAAAAUUAAUUAAAAAAAUUGCAUCUUAGACCAAAUUAAAUUGAAAUUUAGUUACAAAAAGGAUAUUAUCCAAGACAAUGCUUAGUGUUAACUUGACACUACUAAUAUAAGUAAUAGGGGCUUUUGUUCCAUUUUUAGUAAUUUGACAAUUUCUAAACAAGAGGAUGAGAGGUGGGAAAGAAAAGAAGAGGAUAGCAUACGAUCAUUAGCUCUAGAAUCAAUGAUCCAAGAAGUUGAAUGAGAAGAAAAGUUUGCUUUAUGUGUAAUGCCUAUCAAGUUUCUUUAUAAAGGGAGAUUGCUUAUAAGAUUUGAUCUUGGUUGAGCAUUGAUCUAGGCCAUAAUUCGCUAAUUAAGCAUAAAAGGAAAAAUUUGUGGGGCGAUGAAACAAUAGAAACUUAAUUGGAAAAUGCUUAAGAAGAAAAGAAUUGAUUUGGUCCUUCUAUAGGUUGUGGUUUGGAAGAUAUCCAUGUAGUUUGUAACAUUUUUCUUUAGGCCCAUCCUUUGUAGAUGAAUUUUGAGUUGUUAGGACUCAACUUUGAAAAUUUACUUGUGGGAUUAUUAUUUUUACAACUAAUGCAAUAGAAUCUUGUAAAGAUUGUGAACUUGCAAUCCCACGUCAUCUUCCUUCUUUCAACAGUAGAGAAAAAAACCUUACCCACUAUUGGAAUUGGAUUUAUUAAUAAGAUAUGACCAUGUACAACUAUAUAAGUCUCAUUCAAACACAGUAGAAGUUGCAUGGUGCAGUUUCCCUCCUUGUAUGCCUCCAAGAUUUUAUUUGAUUCACAUGAGUAGGAUUGAAUUGGGGAGUAAAAGGUUUAAUUAUGUUGGAAACAAGAUCACAAUGAUGUGAAAUCCUGGGCUAUUAUAUCUAUCAAUAAUGGAAGUAAGAAAACUUAGAUCGUCCAAUCAAUGCAAGGAUCUAAAAAAAAACCUCAGGAUCUUCCACUAGAUGGCUUGGUCUUUAAUUCUUAAUGCGUACAUAGAGUGACUACACACCUUCAGAAGAGCGGGGGAUAGGGGGGAGGCUAGGGUUUUUGGAAGACUACUAGUUUGAAAGUUAGAGUUUACCUAAAAGCCAAGGGGUUUAUAUAGACUCUUUUUUGAGCUUAAGUGAGUUUGGCCCAACUUAGACUUAAGUUACUUAAUCCAGUUCACUGGAUCCCAAUUAAUUAAUUAAUCCUAAUAUAUUCCAAUUAAUUAAUUAGUUUAAUCCAAAAAAACUCAAAAUAAUUAAUCAUAAAUUCUUGUACAACCUUGCGUUUUUACAAAAACAUCAUUUUACAUAUAAAUGAUUAACUUUUCAUAAAACCUCACGACUUUGUACCAAUAGGAUCGAUAGCGCGAUACUAACUCUUUUAGAAUCUAAUUCUAAAGUUGACUCAAUAUUUUCUUAAAAAUAGUUCAUUCCACUUUGGUAUCCUAUGAUGUUAUAUUGAAACAAUUUAAUCAACUUUUUGGGUUUGUAACUUACUAUCCAAUACAUGAAAGCUUUUCAUAAAUUAGUGUUCAUAAUCUAACAAUGUGAAAACUAUCAACUUCUCAAUAUUACCUUUAUCAUCCUUAAGUUUUAGAUCCUCCUAUUAUGUGAUUACUCGACAUGUUUUACCUCACAAAAAACAUAUAUCAACUUCCAUUAAUGGAAUUACCAUAACCAUAUAUUUCAUCAUCACAAGUCUUCAAUAUCAUCGAAAAUGAUACACUAUCUCAAAUCCAUGAGAUAUCAUGGUGCCUAUCUUGACAAUACUUGUUGUUACAUACCUUAAUUAAUACUGAUUUAAUCCAUAUAAUAUAUAACCACCUUAAUAUCUCAAUCGUAAGUCAAAGUCACUAAAGACCUUAACACUAUCUCAUUAUUUUCUCAAGAUUGAGAAUUCAAUAACAUAGUAGUUUGACAAAAUCAUAACUAUUUAAUAUCAUGAUUUUUUAUAGAUCCUAUCCGAUAGGUAACUAUAUGCACUAAUGUGUUUACCAUAAAAAAAUCUAUUUCGAUAGAAGACUGAAGUUGGAUGUCAAGAUAUAUCAAACAAUAGGAGAGUUUCUCUGUGAUAUUUUGAAAAUAAAUAAGAUCUUUGAAUAAAGAUGCAAAAUCACAAACAAGUCACAUCAUAAGAUUUGUAUUUUAAUUUCUUGAAUUUUUUUCAAACCAUUAAUGAACCAAAAUUGGAAGGAUGUUUCCAUCAUUUACUUGAAAGUACCUUCCACAAAUAGUAUAUUAAAUCUUCAAAUAUAAAUUUAUUAUUUAUAGGUGAUGAUGUUGAGUUAAAAGAACCACUAUACUAUUUUUUUUUUUUUUGUGAAUUAAAAAAAAAUACUAUGACAAACACUUUGAGGAGAUGUUUUUGCACAAAACAAAUUUAAUAUGGAAUGUACAAUAUUGUUAUAUAACAUAUGACAAACACUUCAUUUGAUUUUUCUCUUUUGUAUUAGUCAUUUUUAAUAAAGAUGGAUAUAAAUUUCUUACCAUGUACAUAAUGGUUUUUUAAUUAACUCCGAUAUCUCAUUUGUUGUCUUCCUUAUAUUUAACAUUAUUUUGUUGUAAAAAACUCAUGCAACAUAAACCCUUAUGUCCAACUUCUCAUGAAAAUUGUAUUUUUAAUGAAAUAUUUUGGUGUGGUUAACAUGAUAGUACCCCAAGCUACCUAUAAUCUCUAGUUAAAUACCAUUGAAAAUGUCAUUAAUGGAUCACAAAUAUCCCAUUUACAUUUCUUACCCUCGAAAUGAAAACAAUGUGAAGAAGUUGUUUACAAUCAAUAUACCCUAUAAAUUAUAUUCAAUUGCACAUCAUCCUCAAAUUCAAAGUAACUAUUUCUAAUUUUUGACGAGCUCGAUGAAGCUAGAGUAAAGUAUAAAACAAUUGAAACUAAAUGCAUACAUUAAUCAUUCCAUUCUUGAUACUUUUUAGAGUCACUAGUCGGAGGCAUCCUUGCGUCAAUGUAACCGAAGGUAUAAUUAUAUCCUAUAUUUAGAGCAUGUUUGGUAGUAAUUCUAGGAAACGCUUUUAAUAUUUUUAAUACUUGAAAAUCUUCAUCAUUCAAGUAUUAUAAAUAUUAGACACAUUUUCUAGAAUUACUCUCAAACGCACUCUUAGUCAACUCCAAUAUCUCAUGGUGUUAAGAAAUCAAGCUUCUUGUGAGUAUGAAAAUUGAAUCAAGGGCUAUGAGUACGGAUACAGACCUCCAUAACUAGGCUUAGAAAUGGACCUGCGGCUAAAGAAGAUGCCUUCAAUGGCCUAAUUGAACCAAUUAUACUCAAAAUUGGCACAUGCCUUCAACGACAAUAAUUAAAACAAAUAUUAAGAGAGAAAGACAAAGGGUUUUGAAUCAAAUACAUGCUUCACCAAAUGAAAAUGGCUUAAAGCAAUAAUUAAUACAAAGAUCUAACAAACCAUUUUCUUUCAUUUCUUCUCUCUACACACCCCUCUUUCACUCUUCAGUUUAACUUUGUCCUUUCGCUCACAGGGACAGCCCAGACUCGUCAUCCUCCUCGAGGGUGGCAGUGUAGGUAAAGUAGAGAGCCCAGAUCAAACCAAACACACCGAAAAGUAUCCACCCAAGAAGGUUAUUGCUCAACCCAAAGGGCAGCCCUGUCCCCUCCGUGCUCAGUCUCUCAUCCACCAGUGCCAUUGCUGGCCCUGCCGACGCUGCCACCGCAGCAGCAGCUGCCAUCAACGACGCCCCCAUGCUGAUGCUUGACCCCAUGUCGCUUCCACAGGGCUUCUCCUCAGACAUGCACCGCACUCGUCCCUUCUUCGCCAUGGCUGGCAGGCCUACAACCCAGAAAAGAAAAUGUCCAUGUAAGAUGGAUGGAUCAAGCGAAACAAGAAGAGAAUUUCAUUCAAAAACCUUACCAAGGACGGGUGAUGAAAUCCCAUUCAAUCCUUUACUCGCUACACUGGCACGCACAAGCGAUGUAGCUGGGUUGCUGGCUGUAAUGGUGGCCAUUUUUCUGCAGUCUGAGAAAUAUGGAUCAAGUAUGCAAGAGUAGGAGUUAGGAGAAGAUUUAUCACAUCAAAUGGGUGGGGGAAUUGGAGAAUUAAUAUCAUCGGCAUACAGUUUGGUGCACCACAGAAUGUGGAUAGAUAGAUGGACAGACAUUUCAUAUCCUAAAUCUUCAGGUGACCAAUCGGUGCCCGCCAUGUGUGUCUUUACAUAGCUUGUGGGUUACCAAAACAUAUGUUCUGUUUGGACACAAGAGACCUGGUUUCAACAAAUAUGGCCUGCCUUGGGCCACUCUAGUAAUAAUUAACAAAUGGCCUUAGGGAAGCCCAAAGGAAUGAGCCCUCUCUCUCUCUCCCCUCUCAAGCCCUAUGGCCCAUGUCAAUGAGGAAAUAGUUUAUAUGUGUCAGUAGAUGGGCUAACUAGACCAAUAUUUUUAUUAUUUACUGUAGGAUACUAUAUAAAAUAGUAGUAAUUUUAAUAUAAAAUUUAAGGCUUACAUUGAAAAUUUAAUGAUUUAUAUUAGAAAAUUGAGGUAUCAAAAAUCUUUAAUUGUCUUAAAUUUAAAAUUUUAAAAAUAAUUUUUAAAGACAUAAGAUAAAUAUAUAUUUAAAGAAAAUUCACUUUUAUAAUAAAUUUCUAUUUUAAAAAAAUACAUAAAAUAUAUUCAAACUAGGAGAAUGUUUAGUAAACCAACUUAAUAACUUAAUUUAAGUUAUUAAACAAAUUAAGUAUAUUUGGUAAAAUAACUUAAUGACAUGCCUCAAAGUCAAAAACAACUUUAAUUAAUAAGUAAAAAUAAUUAACUUAUUCUUAAAUUCACAUCUUCAUUUUCUUUUUUUACUACAAUUUGCAUUAAGUACAUCCACGAUCUCUUUCACUACUACACGACUUUCAUUAUUACUUGACCUCCUUUAUUCUAGUUAUAAUUUAUAAUAAUAAAUAUGUUAAUUUGAUGAUUUAGAAUAAAUUUUAAAUUAAUUUUAUCAAAAAACCUUAAUACUUAAAAUAAAAAUUAAAUAACAAGUUUUAAGUUAAUAACUUAACUAUGAUUUAACUUAAAAUCAACUUAAGUCAUUAUGUAAUAAGUAUUAAAUUUUAUCAAACACCCCAUAAAACUUAAUUAUCUUGGUUUGUUUUGAUUCCAUUGUGUGAUAUUUAGUUCAAAUUAGUCAAUUAUGGUCACAUGGUAGUUAAGGAAAGUACAAAGGAAACUUAAAAAACAAAUUCAAAGCUCCUAGAUGCCUAAAGUACGUAGUAUAAGAAAAUCAGCAAAAUCACUCAAAAUAAUAGGUUUGCAAUGUCAAAGAAUUCAGUAGAAAAGGUGGGAACUGAACUACAUUUAUAGUGCAAGAAGGAGCCCACAUAGCUGACCAAGGAGUUAGGACUUCUAACAGAUAGUGAAGAAAAGCUAAGCAUGGAAAUGGUACAUAAUUAAAAGUAAGGUCAGUACUAAUUGACAUAUUUGGGUUUUUGAAUAACAGCACCAUGCCAGGCUGAGUGGCUACCUUGCCAACCCAACUCCAAGGGCAUGCCAUCUUUUUCCAAAGCUGGCAUCCAGGCGGAAGAGCAACAUUCACACCUUCUACAGCCCACUUUUAUUACUCUGAAGCCCCACUCCCAGAAAGACCGAAAGCAAAUAUGAGAAACCCCAUGAUGCAUGCUAGAGAAAGGUCAAUGCAUCUGGCUAAUAUUACAACAAUCAUCAUGUGAAUGCAUCUGUCUGUAGGGGAAUUUAAACCGACGGCUUCAACUUCUUGUAUAUGCUAAAAUUUUGCUUCACACUCAUGAAUGACCAUCUAUGAUUAUCUCAUAUCCGAUUGAGAAGCAAAUGGGUUGCUUUGAAUGGUAUUGGAGCUGAUGUAGAUACGUUUUAAAGUUGUGAUGACUCAUUAGACCUAAAGCAAACAAUAUCUAAAUAGAAAAGAGUGAGUUAUCUAAAUGAUAUUAGAUAUGAUCCUUAAUUCCGAUGUGGGAGUGUGUUUAAUCCAUUAAGGGAUGUUUGCCUUUUUGAUCCUUUAAUCUCACGGGAUACAACAAGAAUGUAAUAUCAUAAAGGGGUGAUUGUAAUUUCUCAUAUUAAAUUAAAGAUAUAUACACUCCUUUUAAUCAUAUAAACGUAUUUUAAAAACGUAAAAACUGAUUAAAUUCAAAAUAAAUAAUAUCUACAUAAAAGGGAAUAGAUCGUUACAUCAUCCCUCUUACAUAUGUAUAUAUAACUUGUCAAGUUGAACUUAUUUGGAUAAAAGGGAAUUAUCCCAUAUAUAUUAAGUCGGUCUUUUAAUGAACCAAACACAACAAUCCAAAUCUAACUUGGUUAGUCCAAGGAAUCAGUUAGUGAUGGGGUCAUGAUCUUGUUAGUUAGCUUGUUCAAGUCAUAAAAUAGAACAAAACGAAGCCCACAAUGCUUCAAGCUCCACCUACUUAAUAUGGAUUGAUUGAGCUCAUCAUCAACUGUUGAGUUAGGCAUCACAAGGUUGUUGAUUAUAGACCCUAUCCAAUUCUAUAACUUAGCAAAAAGAAAACUCCAAUUACAGAGGUUUUUGAAGAUACGUGCUGUAUUUGCCAAUAUCCAUUGAUAAAGAUGGGAGCCAUGGAUUUAUUUGUACACAAAUCAAAAUGAGGCUAAUGAAAGGGACCACUUAGUUAUUGAGCUCCGCCCACAACCAACUUUGAGAAGGUUGCAUACUCAAAUCCAUCACUAAGCCCAACCUCUAUGCUACUAUUCGGCUUUGCGAGGUUGGUUAGAACUUAGAACUCAUAGUAAGAAUAAGAAUAGGAAUAUCUAAGUAUGUUUGGGAACAUUAUUACAUACCAGGGGAAGCUUAAUCAAGUUAUGUUUCCUUAACCUUAACUUGUCUCAAUCUAUUUUUACUUCAAGUUAUGAAUUUCUGUUCCAACUCUUAGCGGGUGUUUGUUUUUUUUUAUUUUUUGUUAAAAAUAAUUUGUUUUUAGAUUUUAGAUUGUUUGUUUUUCUACUUUUUUUUAUGAUUUAUUAUAAACAUUUUGUUAAACAGAAAAAAUUGAAAUAUUUGGCUUUUUAUAAAUGGAAAAAGCAAUAUAUUGAAUUUUAUUUACUUUUUAAUGCUUAAUGAAAAUAAAAUAUUAUAAAACAAAUAACUUAAUAUUUAAUACUAUUAAGCAUUAAAGUUCUAUUUAGAGUUAAGUAAAAAAACAAACAUCAUCUUAGCUCACACUCUGUGAUAAGACUAAUAACCAUAGUUAAAAGCGUUUCCUAUUACUUAAAAUAAUAUUUUUAAAAAUCGGUCGAAGCGUUCUUGAACUCAUAUUUAAUAGAUGUUUCUUUUUAAAAAUCGUCAUAUAGCCUUUAAUUUCAAAUAAAAAAUUCUAUAAUAAAAAAUUCAUUUGUGAUUCUCAAAAUUAUAGUUAAAGUUUACUUUUCCAAAAAAAACCAUUUAUGACAAAAAUGUUAUUCAUAAAAAGUAUUAUAACUAGAAGUGAUUUUAUCAUAUUAGACAAAGCUUGUUGAAAUAAUAUCAAUUAUUGUGGGGAUGACUUAUUAUUACCAAGAAUUUGUCCAAAUAAUCAUUUUUGGUAUUAUUAAAUUUAAAAUAAAAUGAUGACGCAUCAUUCAAAUGUUGCAAAAAUGGAGUUAUGCUACAAUAUCCCUUAUUUUAGUUUUUCAAAUAGGCUUUUUAUAGGAUAACAUAUCAAGCAUGACUAAUUUUUUUUUUUUUUACUUUUGUUGGUAUGUAUCUUUUUUUAAAAAUAUAAUAUAAAAAUAAAAUAAAAUAAAAUAAAAUAAAAAGGGGAAAAAAAGAGGGGGGAAUUUGGGUGGGGGUGGGGGGUGGGGUUAUACAUGUCGUCUACUUGCCCGUCUACCCACCAGCGUACUUGAGUGUAUCGGACAGGAAGGGAAGUGAGAAGCGUUUUUCACAUUACACGCGUACGAGAGACUCUGCUUUGUGUGUUUUUUGGCCGUGCCUUCCUUCAUGGACUUUCGUUGAAACUGUCUCUUGUAUAAAAGCCUCACCCUCAAGCCUCAAGCCUAUCGCCUCACGCCUCACGCCUCAUCAGCUCAUCACCCACUUCAGUCCGUUCUAUUCUGUUUUUCUCGAAUUCCUACAAUCCCCACUCACUUUUCUACCAAAUUACCCUAACCCAUCUCCAAAUUUCACCUCUGAAUCUAUUAUUUUUCUUCCAAUCAACCCCAAGAUCCUGUCUCUCUCCCCACGUCCCCAUAAUGCCACAACCUCUCUAAAAUUUCCUCGUUGUUUCUUGCUGCUUUUCUUGGUGAUUCUCUGCGUUGAAUCAGUGCACGAGAGAUGACGAGUCAGGUGGUGAAGGUACGGCGGGAGACAAUAGCAGCAUGCAUGACAUGCCCUCUUUGUAAUAAGCUUUUGAAGGAAGCUACGACAAUAUCUCUAUGUCUUCAUACGUGUAAGUCUUACUGUUAUGUUUCUCUUUUUUGGCUGAUUCUGAUCUGGGCUCUUGUUAUUUUGCAUUUUAGCAGCUGGGUUUCCUUUACUUUGUGCUUCUAUGAUACCGAUUUUCAUGUAUUUUCUUUAUGUAAUUUCACAAUUCAUACGUGUAAGCUUCACUAUUGUCUCUCUCUUUUGGCCGAUUCUGAUCUGGCCUUUUGUUCUCUUGCAUUUUAUUAACUGGGCUUCUUUUACUUUGUGUUUCCGUGGUAUGGAUUUAAUGUCUUUUAUGCAAUUUCAGAAUUCAUACGUGUUCGUUUCUCAAUCUCCCUUUUCUUUAUUAUGUUGUUUUUGAUCUGGGUUUGUUCUUAGCUUCCAUUAUAUGAACUGGGUUCCUUCUGCUUUGUGUUUUCAUGAUCUGGGUUCUCAUGUACUAUUCCAUAUCAGAAUCUUGGUUUUAUGAACUGGGUUUAGAUUUGUGAAUUACAUAGAAGAAAAGAGAGAAAUGCUGUGUGUUUAUGAUGUUGAUGUGAUUAUCCUUUCUUUCUUUUUAUUUGUUAAUUUAGGAAAUAAGGAACAAUAAAAGCUGUAUUUUUUAGGCCUUAGGGGGUCCAAUUAAUGUACCUGGGUUUCUCUCUGAGAAAAUAUUUAAUCAGUCAUUAUGGACGUGAAAAUACGGAUCUGAAAACUCAAAUUGAAAUGAUAAUCAAAUAUCAUCUGUUGAAGCACUGGUUGUCUGAACUUCUUAAGGUCAAAAACUGGUGACACUAGUAUAGCUCUCUGAACUCUUAAUUGCCUCUUCAGGAAAGCUCUUUCCUUUCCAUUGGUUAACAUUGCUAGUGACCAUGUGGUAUAAAUUGUCCUUCUCUUAUUCAAAUUUAUGUCAUCUUUUUUCUUCUUUCAAUUGAUAAACCCUUCCUCUCCAAAGCUUUUAAUUCAUAUGUUUUGGAAAGGAAUCGAAGCUUUCUUUAUGGCCUUGAAGAAUCUGAAGUUCUGCAAAAUUCUAGUUUAAUUUGAUUAUUUCUGGACUUUACUGAAAAUUGUGUAGGUUUAUAUCAUCUAGUUAGUUCAGUUCAGUACUUCCUAUGGUUCAUUCUUCCAUAAUAAGGUUCCUGUUCAAUUUUUUGAUCAUUUUUUUUUCAAUGUGUGUUAAUUUUAGUUCUUCUCUCUCUUGUUCCUGUCACCAUUGAGAAAUCUGAGUUAUGCCAUAACCAUGACAACCCUGAGUUGAUUUUAAUAUUGCCUUAUUUUUCAUUCUGUAUGAUUUUGGUUUAAUUCAUUUGAUUCUGUGAUUUUUGUAAUUCAAUCUCAUACUGAUCUUGAUGUGCUUUUUUCCUUCUGAUCCUUUUGAUGAUGUGCAUGGCUGUCAAUCAACUUGUUCUCUUUAUUUUUUUGCGGACAAGGGUCGUUUUUAUAGUUACACAAUCUAUUUUGGUGGUUUUCAGUUGGCCAUCAUGACUAAGCUCUUUUCUUUAUGAGCCUUUUUAUUUUCUUGGGAUCCCAUCUAGAAGCUAAAUUAACCUACUACUGUAGAUUGUUCUCUCCUUCUUUCUUUUGUUUUUUAUUUUUAUUUUUGAUUGGCAAAUUAAGAGAAAGAAUAUAGUUAGUCUCCUAAAAGGAAUGGGGACCAACCAAGAUACAUAGGGGGUAAACAAGGCUUGCAAAGGCCAGUUUAACAUUUUGAAUUAUUCCAUCCAUCUGAUAACUCAUUUAAGAAUUUGUCUCAAUUUUUCAGUUGCAGCAUGCUACAGGUUUGACCACCAACAUUAGUAAUAUUGGAAGGAUGUUAUUUUUUUGUUAAUUAUGGUUCAUUAACGUCAGACUAAGUAGUAGCUGUAAUUGAAUUUCAUUAGGUGUUAGCCGUCUCUCUAUAUGGAGUUGAUACAUUCUAAUCUAUAUAUAUUUAUUACAGCUUACUUGUUCCAGUGGAAUUCAUUUCCUUAGCAGCAAGCUGCUGUCAUAGAAACCACCUUUGGUCUAGGCUGUUGGCAACUCCUACUUGUUUUCACAUCAGAUCUUUUCCAUAUCUCACAAUUCUCUAUGUUAGUAGUUACAAAAAUGGGAGGAAGUUGUUUCAUAGCAUAUAUCCUGCAUGAGAGAAGCAUAUGCAUCACUAUUGUCAUUAGCUGUACUUAUUGGAAGCCGCUGUUAUAUAUUAUGUUUUCUUCUGGAUGCCAUUGAUAUCAAUUGCAAUAAAUAACUUAAUAAAAAAAAUGGAACCUUAAGAAUAAAUUUGUUGAUUUGGUAGCAACUUUGUAUUAUUUCCCUAUAACUUUCCUUGUUAGCUGGCUUUCCAAUUUGAUAGAAACAUUUUUUAUGAUACAUUAAUUUUCAUUUCGGAGGAAUGUCCUUUUCUUUUCCUUUUUAAUUAAUAUCUGAUAUUACCCUAGAAGGCAUAGGGCAAAUCCAAUGGAUAGAUACACAGAGGAAACAAAGUUCACCUGGAAAAUUUAUGGAUAUCUGGUCUAUGCUUCGAGUAAUUGAGAUGCUGAAGCAUGCAUGAAUGUUCUGUUUUUUGAUGCAAGAUAUUGGCAGAGAUACAUUUGUCAAAUGUGCCCAAUUUCAUAAUUUCCUUUAUGCCUCCCAAUUUUGAGUUGCUAAGGAAGUUUAAUGUUUCUUCACAUUUUGAAAUCCUAAUUAUCAUAGCUUGGAUGGAAUCCUAUUGUGAUUGCAAUUUUUCCUUUUUCUUUUCUUUUUUCUUGUAGGCACUGUUAGAGUGUAAUUUAUGUUUCCUUUUUCAUCAAUAACUAUAAUGGUCCUGUAUGAAAUGCUACUUAGAGAACCAAGAGAAAAAUUUUCAGAUCUCUUGUCAUCUCCUUUGUUCUUGUACCAUCACUAUGUUUCUUGCAUUUGGUGAUGAAUUAAGAACAUGGAGUGCUGCCUUUUUUUUUUUUUGGGGGGGGGGGGGGGGGGGGGUUGCAUUAAUUAUACAUUGCUAGCAGUGAAGGGCAUAAAGUUACGAGUCCUUUAUCUCCUGAAAGUGUUAUUGACUUGUUCAAUAUGUAGUUUUUUAUGCAUUGAAUUUUCAACUCCAAACCAGUUUGCAGGAAAUGCAUAUAUGAGAAGCUCUCAGAUGAAGAGGUAGAUUGCUGUCCUGUAUGCAAUAUUGAUUUGGGCUGUGUUCCUGUGGAUAAACUCAGGUCAGUCCUGUCUGAACAGUAACUAGGCUUCACUCUCUCCUUCUCCUUGUCCCUCUGGUUUAGAAAUUCAAGGAGAUACACAUGCACAUUCACAAAUGUGUUUUAAGACAAUGGAUAUGAAUGCAUGCACGUAGUCCUCAGUGGCAAGGAUCUACCAUAUACAUGCUGUACUUUCAAAUUUGCUUUAGUAAUAUGAAUGUUUGGUUUUUGAUAAGGCAUGUAGAUCCUUAAAUCUUAUUGUUCAAUUUUAGGAAUUUAUAUCAAAACAUGUUAUUUUAUUAACCUAAUAAGUGGAAUUAGUUUUACUAUGCAAAGAUAAUGGUGGUAAUAGUGAUUGAACAUUGUUCUCAAGAUCUUUUAAUGGAUUUCAUAGUUCCCUACAAUCUCGAUUGGUUGUCCAAAAUACCUUAAAUGAACCCAAACCUGAAACCAAAUAUGAAGUAGAAUAAAGGCAGUGUCACUUUACAUCACCUUCGAUGAUCCCAUUCAAAAGCCUAGGGUUUUGAUGUAACACUAUAGAGCAAGUUGAACACUUGUCAGAUGCUCGAAAAGAACAAUGAUAAGGAAAGAGUUCUCAAACAGUUUGUCCACUUGGAAGAAGCUAUCUGGUGUUGGAAGACAAAUCUGCAUUAACCUUUCGUCUAGUGUCCCCACACCUCUUGUUUCUCUAUGGUUGUUAAGGAGAGCAAGAACCUCAACAUGAUAUCAUUACCAACCCUAGUUGGCUUAGAGAACGUUAAUUUUACUUCCUUCUUAAGGUUCUUAAACAAGCCUUGGAUUUUAACUUGGCCUGGAUAACUGAGGCAACUAUUUUUGAAGUUAAAUUCUCUGAUCAACUGGUGGUGCCUCAGCUUAGGAACACAAGGAGGUCAUUGAUUACCAACUUGCAAUUACCCAAAAUAUAAUGAGCCUCGGUCACCAAGGUCACCUAGUAGGCAAUUAUCCCUAAUCAUCACCUCUUGGUUGGACUACUCAAAAACUACAGAUUGUUUAAUGGAAUCAAUGGGUACACAUCACGAGUCUUGUAAUGCUUUAAAGGUAUCCUUCUCUCUGAUCAUGGAGAGAAUUAUUAGUCACAGCAUCCACUUUUCCUAAUAGAGGGACUUUCACAGCAACAAAAUAAAGGGGUUUCAGAAUAGCUUGAACCUUCCCAAUAGAGUUGAUGGAGGAAGCUGGACUGGAUUAGUGUUUGUUUGCAUACUAAAGACUAGCUUGGGUUGGUUUUUGGGAGGCUGACUUGGUAGCUUUCUUUUUGGAUCUUAGUCAAAUUUGUGUAUUUUUCUGUUGAUAUAGUCAGGAAGAUACAGAUUUGGUGAUGACCUGAGGGCUUAACACCUCUAGUUGCCUGUGGGGAUAUGCACAUCGUAUAAGAGAGCCAUGGCCUCUCUCCCAUUGGACCUGAACACUUCCAGCCAACUUCCAAACAUCUUCAACUAUUUAUAUUGAUACCCAGCUACUUACACUCUCAAACCAUCAUGUUGUUUCCUUCACUUUUUUCAACAACUAGUUGCUUUUCACUUUGUGAAUUUAAUGCACUUGCUUAAAUUGGUAAUUUUUCUUUUCCUUUUUUUGGCUUUUGCAGCAGACCUUUUAUAUAUAUAAUAAGCACUAAUGACAUUGUGCAUGAGGCCUAUUGGGAUCAGGAGAACCUUUUGUUUUGUUUGUUCUGUUUAUUUAUUAAUUUUUUUUCUAUCAGCUCAUCUCUGUCAUUGCUUUGGUAUAAAUGAUCCUCCUUCGUACUAAUAUACACAUACCCAUCUUUACUUAUCAGAAAAAAAAAACAAAAAACAAAAAAUCCUCCUUCAUCUCCAUAAAACCACAAAAUUUAAGAUAUUAUAAGAGUCGAUGACAGGCUGCUCUAGGUCAUUGUCAAGUUUCUAUUUCUUCAAACAUUUUCUGAUGUAUGCUGGUUUUUCAUUUUCUCCCCUUCUAAUUUAGACCAAUAUCCAGAUAUUGCUGCAACUGGUGAUUUUCCAAUUUGGCUCCAUUUAGCAUUAGGGAAACUAGAUGUGGUAUUGAUUAUCUAAAGGCCUACUCUAUUGAAGUAGAUGCAUUGUCAGUAACUACAAUGCCGAGAUUCACUUAAAUUCACAGCUACAAAAUUACAGACCCCUUGGGAAUAUUGAUUCAAUUCCUUCUGUCUUUGAGACUUCUGUCGGACUAAGGCACCCUUUAUCUGGAAAAGCUGAAAGAAAUCACACCUGGAGUUGGAAUGAUCUAGGGCUUCUGAUUCACAGGCUACAAGAAGGCCUUCUAACUCUUCUUUCAUAAUUGCCUUAAAGGGUAUAUGGUAUAAGAUCAAUUGGUUGUGAACCUUGCAACACCGAGCAUUGGUACUUCAUUGUCAAUAACUACAAUGCAGAGAUUCACUUAAAUUCACAGCUACAAAAUUCUGGAGUUAUUUCCAGAAUUCUUGAAUAUUUGAUUUGACAAACAAAACCCACAUAUAUUCUGAUGUUCUGGUUAUUCCCAAUUACUACAAACAAUUCAAAAAUUCCAAGUUUGUAACUGUAUAUAUUUAUAAGCCUCCAAAAUGAAGGAAGCACCUUUUUUCAGUUGCCUUCUGUUUUUUCUUCUUUUGUGGAACUUUGCUUUCAGCCAGAUAGGCUGGCUACACAAACUUUAUUCAUCUGAUAAUGCAAAUGCUAAAACAGUUUAGAUUACAGGCUCCCCAAUCAUUAGUGUGUGCUACCUCUAACAGCAUUUCCACCUUCAGAUAAUUUUUUUUAUCCCCUAGCAUCUCUGUCUUCUGGGGACUUGUGUUUAGAUUUUCUCAUAUUUACUUAAGUUUGCUUGAUAAUAAUAUGCAGGCCUGACCACAAUUUGCAAGAUAUAAGGGCCAAAAUUUUUCCUUUCAAAAGAAGAAAGACCAGUGUUCCUGAAGUUAUGCCUCCAAUUCCACUGCCAGUUAAAAGGAAGGAAAGAUCACUUUCAUCUUUGGUCGUAAGCACUCCCCGAGUAUCAAUGCAGACUGGCUUGACCGGAAGGAGAACAAAAGCUGUUGCGAGAAAGAGUACUGCUCUACGAGGUUCCAGUUUUUCCAUUGUGGAACCCAUUAAGAAAGAGGAAGAUUCUGUGGAAGAUUGUCCAGAAAGCUCAAGCUCACCUGAGUCUCGAAACAAAGUUGCUCAAACUAAGAAGCAGGUAAAGGAGGCAAGGAGUUUUGACUCUUUGGGCUUGUGUGACAAACUUCAAAUUGGUUUCAUUGAGCUAUCCCUUUUAGGUAAUGAUAUAUUUGCCAUACUGUGAUAACACCUCUGCAUUAUUGUUAAAUCAAUUGUAGAAUUCUUCCAUAUCUGAAGCUUCAAAAGAUCAAAAGCCUAAUAAAGAUACUGAGAAUGAUGCUGAUCCAUGGGAUGGAAAAGUUGAUCUGUGGACACCCUUAAACUGUCUUGUUGAAGCUGCAAACAGAACCAAGUCCUCUAAAUUUAAUUCUCAAGGGACGUCUCUUGCUAAGUCGGAACCAUUUAAUGCUCCUGACAGUGAAGUAUAUAUGCCUAAAACUAAAGCUAAAGCAGAGCCACUGAAUGCUGCUGAUGGUGAAGUCUGCAUUCCUAAGACCAAAAUCAAGGAGCAUGGACACAAAAUAAAAGUUCAAGAUGAUAAGAAUGGAGCGGCCUUGCUUCCAGGACCAGUGAAACGUAGAAGAAUGCGUGCAGUGGGCCGAAAAAGAAUAUCUGCAUCAGGGGAAAUGUGCACCCCAGCACAAGUUGUGCUAAGUGCUGCAGGGGCCAAACGCGGCAGAAGAAAUUGUCCAAUUUGGUUCUCAUUAGUUGCUUCUGAAAACCAGUAAGAAAUCACUUUGAUCAUGAAAUUUAAUUAUCAUAGGUAUUUCUUUUGAGGGGGAGCUUGAUUUAUGAUUUCUUUAAUUUUUUUUUUUUUUUUUUUUUUGCUGAUUAUAUGGUUAAUGGAUUCAGGGGAGGAAAUGGUCCCUUGUCAAAGAUACCUGCAUAUUACUUGAGGGUAAAGUGAGUAUAUUUGGUUCCACCACCUGCUUUCUGUUUUUCUGCAAUUUUCCCUUUUUUGAUAAGAUAAAUUUGGCAUUCUAAGUUAUUUUUUUUCCUAUUUCAUUCUAUUUGUUUACUUUAUUAUGCUCCACAUUUCUGUUGUAUAGGAACAUCUUUAAAUGUCAUCCUGGAAGUAGGAUUUGUGGAUUAAUGUUGGUAUAUAUUUUGUUUUAUUAUCAUUAUCAUAUAUGUAUGAUUCUGGAGGAACAGUGGAGGAACUCUACUGGAAGAAAAAAGUGAUUGAAAGAAAGACUUCAUUGGAAAAUAUAGGAAAAACACCUUAUCCACCGUGCCCACAUACACAUGCACACAGGCACACGCAUGCAUGCCAACACACAUGAGAUAGUUAAGAGCUUUGUGGCUUGCUGUAACCUGGAACUUCAUAUUGUCAAACGGAGUUUUCAGACAAAAUGUGCAUUUCAUAUUUUACCUAAUUGACAUACUCUAUGACCAUGAAGUUAUGACCACAUCCAAGGAAAACUCUUGAACAGGACUAGAUUCACCAAUUCUCAUCCUUAAUGGAUGCUAAAUUAGUUGGCUAAGUGCAUAAUGCAUGGACAUGGUGAAGAUAAAAUAAGAGAACAACAAAGACCUCUUGAAUAGCAACAAACUCAGGAAUUUACAUGACUCUUUCAAAAAAUCCAUGAGUAAGACGAUAUAAGUUUCUCUUCAUCUGGAAAUUUGGUUUCAAAAAUAGGGUUUUGGAGGCAGAAGAAAAUGGUAUAUGCAUACUGUUGUCCUUACAGUUUGAAGCAUCGUUUGUGUACAUCACAGUAUCACAGUAUUACUGUAUUCUUUACUGCUGUCUAUGAGUACUUCAUUUGUCCCUUUGAUUGAUUAAUACUUUGAUGUCAAGAUGAAACAUAGCCCGCUUGCUGCUUUAGAGGUAAAUUGUGUCGUGAAUAGAAGGAUCAUGUAUUUUUGCUAGUGUUACUUUCUUUUGUUAUAUGAAUAAGAUGAGCAAAGACAUUCUCAUUCGUGAUAGGCAAAAUAGGACUUGUAUAGUAAUUACAAAUAGGGAGCAGGAUACCCUUUCCAACAUUGUGUUUUUGGAUAUCUUCUAGGAAGUAUUUUCUAUCUCUACUUUUAGGAAUAAGAUAUGUUUUAAGUCAAGAAUAGCUCAUUUUGAUGUAAGAUCUGCACACUCCCUAAGAGGAUAAAACCAUUUGAAACCUUGACUAUUAUGAUAUUUUUAUUGAAAAUAUCAUCCCAAGCACAUAAACAUCCUUUGAUAUCUCUCAGAAAACUGCUGACCUUUAUGUAGAUCCAAAAUGGAGCAAGUGGAGUAAUUUAGCAUUAAUAAUAUUGUCAGGUGGUAAGCUCAAGAGUAUCUAGGGCUCUGGGCUGCAUCAAAAUAAUAAAAAAAUCAAUGCAUUGAAAGAAACAGAUAAAAUAAGAAAUUUCUUUUUUAUAUUGAUUUCCUAUUUACAGACACCCACUUGAUAUUUAUGCAGAUUAAGUUCCUUUUUUUCACAUUAAUGUGAUUCUUUUUUUUUUUUUCUUUUUUUUUAUUUUGUUGCAUCCGCUUUUAUGAUGAAACAUGAUAUCAUUAUUUUGUGUAUCAAUUAUAUCUUGGCAAGAGAGGUUUUAAAUUACUUCAAAGUUUCCCAACAAGAUUGCUCAGCUUCUUUAGAACAUCUCUAUCAAAUGAAAGUUCUAUUUAACCUGGGUGGUGGUUUUGAAUAACUGGGCCCAACUGAAUCUGUAUUAAGUGAUGUAUGAAUUGUUCUGAACCAUAAAAUUGUCAAGAUUUGGGAGUAAAUCAUAAAAUAUGGUGAAAGUAUAAAUCAAGAAUGAAGUAUCUUUUCAAUUUUAAAUCUAAUUUAAUUUAAUUUAAUUCAAUUGUGCAGUUUAUAAACAAAAGUGAGUUUUCCAAUAUUCUUUUACAAGAUCAAGGGAUUUUUUUCUUCUUUCAUUUAGACAUCACUUGAAACAAUUAUAAUAUUGCAACUAAUUCCUGAAUUAGUUACCAACUUUGAGGUACAUUAGAGUAAAUUCCCGAGUUACUGAAUUGCAUGAAACUAGAUCAGAUUUAGCACUUGAAGAAUUUUGUUAUCAGUGGGAUAAAAUUUUUUGGUUCUUGAGAUUUAUGUCAAAGGAUGCUUCAAAUGACCCUCCCCAUGGGCUUAUAUAAAGCCUAGGAAGCUUCUGGAGACUCCUACAUUAGUGGGAAGAGUGUGGAAGGUUCUAGAGAUGCCUAGAGAAGUCCACACAUCUCUACACUAUGGUGGAAGGCAUGAGAGGAGUCCAAGGCUUUCUAGAAAAAUCUAGAAAUCUCUUGUAUAUUCUUGUACAUAACUCUUGUACAUAGAAUUAUGUAGGGUGUUCUAGAAUUUUCUUGAUUUGUAAGGAACCCUCCAAGGUUCCAGAGAGUUCCAUUGGUGCCUAAAAAUAGAUAAGGCCUUCAUUUAGCCAAGGCACCACCCAAAAACCUCCCAAGAUCCUAACCAACCAACCAAUUGAGUUCCCAAAAGCACUUAUAAAGCUUCCUUUGAGCAAUAAAAGCUUCCAUUCUUUAAACGUCACCUACUACACCUUCUAAAGCUUCCGAGUCGUAAGCAUCUUAGCCUAGCAAGCUAAGCAUUGGGAGUAAGGCUGACUUAGUAAGAUCAAGUGUCUUGACUUGUCUAAGUGUCGCAUGAGCUUAGGAAAAGACUAAGUCCGUGACAUAGCUCUAAUGAUAAAAAAAACUGGAGAUAAUCUUCUCAUUGUUUCUAUAGUGGUUUUGUAUGGCAUUUUUCUGUUAUUCCAUCAUUUACAAGUUUUUUCUCAGUGGUUUUGCACAUGCAUGCUUGUGGUCUUAGCUCUGUUUGAUUUUUAUCUUGCUCAUUGAAUUAGGAUAUCACCUAUUACGCAAACAUUACAAAAUGGGCCUUCUUUAUGACCAUGUUCUUGUCUGUUAAAUUUUCAGAACGUGAUAAUGAGGUUGGCAUCAACGUUGAUGUUUUUACCGGUAAAUUCUCGCCUGCACUCAUGUUUUUCUAUUUUUGCAUUGCAGGGAUGGUAACUUGCCUGUCUCAUUUAUUCAGAAGUACCUUGUAAAGAAACUUGAUCUGACCAACGAAGCUGAGGUAAGCACUUAUUUUACCUUCCCUGACAGCUAGAAAUGUCUGGGUGUGUCUUUGUCUGUGCUCUUUACAAAGAUAUUGUUAGUUGUUAAAUGCAUGAAUCCCCUUCCUGGUUAUUGUUUGCUAAAAGCAGGAAGCUUAACAUUUUCAAAAAAAUUAGAGGGAAGCCAACAAAUGUUAAGCUUGAGGUCCCCACUUACACUUUCCUGGAGAUUCAUGGCAAUGGAUUUGAAGGAGAGUUUAUUCCAGUUGCUUAUUAGUUCCUAUAGUCCUCAUCCUUAGGAGUUUGCUCACAGCUUGAUAACUCCACUGCCCGCAUGCUGCUUAGAAACCAGUAAUGUAACAACCCUUUCCCUCCCAUGUAAAUACUGUCCGCUUUGAAUUUACUAGGCUGUCACAACUUUAAAACUCGUCUAUAUGAUUAAAAAGAACUCUACCAUAUAUAUAUAUAAUUAGUAUCAUAAACUUGUUCCGCUAUCCGAUAUGGAAUAGAAGCAUCUGUGAGUGGUAGCCGCAUGAUCCCAGAUUCCCAAUUCAUCUAUUUUCAGAAAUCUUGGCACCAAAACAUCACAAACUAGAUCUUUUUUCUUUUCUUUUGGACCAAACGCAGGUCAAAUCAUUUGCAUCCCAGAAGAUUUGUCCUUUGUCAUCAACACCUUCCAAUUAGCCAAAGCUGUAUGUUUUGUGUUUGAUUUGCUGAUUGUGUCUGUUAAUUGUGUUGGUGAAGGUGGAGAUAAGGUGCCAGGGUGAAGCAGUGGUUCCGACGCUGCAGCUGCAGAAGUUGGUGGAGCUAUGGCUGCGAACAGCAUCGACAUCAAAAAGAGUGGCAACAUCAGUAGGCACCUCAGCCAAGGAAUUUGUGAUGGUCUUGACAUACACAAGGGUCCAAGCCCCUUGAAGACACAAACAAACCUCUAUCAUUCUUCUUCUCCAUCUUCAUUAUUCAAAUCUUCAAUAAUAUAUUAUCCCCUUGUAGGAUGUCAUAAAAAUCCACCCAUUUUCUGGGUGCACUAUGUGUGAACGGUGUGAUUAAGCCACAAUUUUCCAAAAAAAAAUUCUGUACAAUGUACACCCUUUUUCAUUGCUCUUAGCAAUGAUCCGGAAACAAUUUUACCAUUUGGAUAUGAUUGCAUCUCUCUGCUGGUGGCUGAGCUUCUUUGAAAAAUGGAAAUUGAAAAUUGUAUUAAGUAUUUUAAUCAUAAUCCCAUAGAUUUUCUGUUUUAUGUUCUUAAAAGUAGAAACUUUUGUAUAAAAAAAUAUGGACAUGUAUUAUGUUCUUAAAAAUUAAUUUCGAAAAUUUUACAAUUUGAGGUAGUAAAAGGUUUCUGGUCUCUCAAAUUUUUACUUAAGAUUCAAAAAUUAUAAUAGUUUUAAUGUAAAUUUUUAAGAAUUUUUGUAUUUAAUAUUAAAGUUAUUAUUUGUAUUUUAUGAACAUUUAGGUAGUGUUUGUUUUUUUAUAACUCAUUAAAAGCAAUAUAAUUAGAUUGAAUAUAUUGAAAAUAAAUUCUUUUUAAUUAUAUUGGUUGAUAUUAAUGUUAUUUUUAGUUGAAUAAAAAAAGUCUAAUAUUUUGGAUUUUUUAAUUCAACUAAAAAAUAAACACUAUUUUAAAGUGUGUUUGGCAAGUUUCUACAUGUUUUUAAUGAAAAUGUUUUCUUAAAAGUAUUUUUAUGAUAAUCAUUUAUUAAGAGUGUAUUUAGUAAUGUUUUUAAUCAUUCUAAUACUUGAAUAAAAAAAUUUUGAGUAUUAAAAAUAUUAUAAACCCUUCUUAAAAUUAUUAUCAAGGUUUUAAGUAUUCUUUAAAAAACACUAUAAAUGAUUUUUGAACAAUAAAAAUGAUUUUUUGGAUUUUUAAAAGUAUUUCAUAAAUUUUAUAAAAUACUUUUUUUUUUCAAAAACAUUUUUAGCUUUUAGAAUCACUCUAAUAUGAUAUGAGAUUAUUAUAAUUUCAUUAAAAUAAAUAAAUAAAUAAAAACUACAAUCAAAGGUGACUCAUUGUUUAUAUUUAAAAAUAUUAUUAUUAGAAUUAUAAUAUAUAAACUUUGGAGGGACACAAGUAUAAAAUGUAUAUAUUUAAAUAUUAAGAAUUUAUAAGAUAUUUAUUUUAGGGAUACAAAAUGAUUUUAGAAAAAUGCUAAGUAAAUGUUAGAUAGCAUAUUGCAAAGCAUUUUUAUUUCUAGAAAUAAAAAUUGAAAAGGGAUUAGAAAAUUGUCUCACUAUCUCCUUUUUUUUUUCUUUUUUCUUUUUUUGUGAUUUCCUAUUAAUAAUAAUAAUAAUAAUAAUAAUUGAAAAAAAUAAUAAUAAUCUUUGGAAGACGGUUAUUAUUUUCAUUUGUCCAGCCAAACGGCCCACUUCUAUUUGACUGAUGCCCGACCGCAUUGGGAUCCAGGCCAAGCCCUUCUACUAGUUUCCAUUUCUACACGCCCUUUUCCUCGACCCCAGCCCUCGUCGCCUUCAUCGAUCAAAUAUGCAACAGGUAUGUAAAACCCUACCAAAACCCUAAUUUUUUUCGUUCUUACUAUUUUCUUCAUAAUACUGAUAAGGCAUUACAACAUGGAAGAGUGGAGGAUCUGAAACAGAGGUGACAUGGGAGGAUCAGCAGAACAUUAACAAAUUCGGAAGACUAAACAACAGAUUUCACGAGCUCGAAGAUGAGAUCAAGAUGGCCAAGGUAAUAAAGAAAAAAGAAAGGACUUUUCUGUUUUCCUUUUCGAUCUAUGAUUUUUGUUAAUUUUUUAAAAAUUUGGUUCUACUUUUUAACUGUGUUUUUAUGCUAAAUUUGAGGUUGGUUUUAAAAAUUAGAGGGAACCCUGAUUUGUUUUUGUCUUCAUUUGGUGGGUUUUUUGAAUAAAGUUCUUCUUUUCACUGGAUUUUUCUGUUAGUUUUCGGAUUAGGGUUCUGAUUCUGGAUCUUGAGUUAUUCACUGUAUUGCAUGAUCUUAAAUGGACUUUAAAAACCUACAGAAGGGCUUUUUUCUACCUCGUUUUUCUAUGGGUAUUAGGAAAAAAAAGAUUCUUUCUUUCAAUUUCAUAUGGGAUUUACUUGAUUGCUGUUGAUUUCUGAAUAUUAGAAAAACGCAGCUUUACCUUUUAAGUUUGAUGGAUAUUAAUAGAAGAAAUAUGGAUUUGGACUUAACUUUUGUGAUUGGUGGAAGUGAAGUGAGAAAAGUUGGAAAAUAGUGCUCAUUGGUGUGCUAGGAGCUUGUUUUUAUAAAUAUAACACAUUUAAAUUUAAAUAAAAUGGAGAAAUUGAGCUAAAGGAUGCACUUGAAGCAGAGAAGCAAUGGAGACAUCUUAAAGGCAAUUGUAGAAUUUGAAAUUGGUUUUUCUUGUCUGAAUUCCAAAGCAAUGUAACAUUUACAUGUUGAAUAAUGCUUGCAUUGUAUAGUGUAUGUAUGAUCCACCGUCACUAUGAGAUUCAGAUUUAAAAUAUUUAUUAGAGACAUUUCUGUUUGUGAAGAUUAGAAAUGAUUUUUCCACAAAUCAUUUCUAAUCUCACAUGCCUUGUCAUGCACAAGGGCAUAUGCCACAAAUUGAAAUGAUCAGGGAGGGUGUUGGAAAAGCAUUUAGCUAAUGAUUUGGCUAGGUUUCCAUGAUCCUAUUUGAUUGAUAUCUUUGAUUAUCUACACCAAUGAUGCUCACAGUGAAAAGAUGUGAAAGUUUUCUUCUGUCAGCGAGAUAUUUUAUAUUGGAUAAACUAAAGGUUGGUUGCACGAUGUAUUAAGAGCAAUCAUCAGAUUGAAGGAAGCAAUAUAACACACUCAAACAAUGCAAAAUAAAAAUAAAAAAUAAAAAAGACCUUGUUGUGAACUCUUUGAAAAACUUUGAUGUUGGAAAUAUAAUCUGUUUGUCUUACUGAGGUUAAAAGUGGCUAAGUUUUGAUGAGUUUUCUUCUACAUUUGGUCUUGGGAUUCAUUGUUCAUGGGUUAAGUGUUCUACUCUUGAGCAUGAUAGCUUGUCCUUAUUUUUGGUUCACAUUAUGUAUCAUUCCUCGUGGACAUGAAUUUCAAGCAUCUAGCAUCCCAUUUAACACCACUGCCAAAGUGCAACUUCUAAUUCUUUUCCAUAAAAUUGUUUCCUAAUAUUGGUUUCCAUACUUGAUAAAACAGGCAACAUUUAUAUGCAUGUAUCAUUCUUCUAUGCUUCUUACAACUGCAUUUCUCUGUUUAUGCAUAUUUAAGAAGUUGGGCUUGAUCCACAGAUUGUUGAUGUGGCCUCAGGCUGAGUUUGUGACAAACCAAGCUUGCAUUGAGCUGGAUCAGCUUGGCAAUUGAGAAUGCUAAAAUUUUGUGAUAAUGGAAGUUUCUUUGAAGAUUACUUAAGAAAAUAUAAAUUUUAUGUGUGAUUGAUUGUGUACGAAUGAGAUAUAUUUGCCCAAACCAACUGUAGCAUUCAAGAUUGAAAACUGUACUUAGUAUUGGUUUCUCUUCUGAACCUAAGUUAGUUUUCUCUAUUACUCAAGUUGGCAUGUUUGGUUAUGUCCUUCAAACAUUUUUCUCAAUUCCACUUAAUGAUGCCUUAUCUCAACUACUUAUUUCAGUCAUGUGAAUCAGUUUGCACCUUUCUACCCUAUGUAGUGUCAUUUCUUUCAUUGAGUCCUUCACUUCAAUGUCCUCUCUAUCAAGUUCUCUGGCACAUUUCCCCAUAUUCUUGUAGUACCCAUUAACUUGAUCUAUGUCAACCAAUAUUGAUGAAAACACACGUUCUUGUUAUGCAUGGCCACAACACAAGGAUCAGUAACAGAAAAGGAAAAGGUCAUAUUUAGUUCUCUAUCUCCUUGAGGAAUCAAGCCCUUCUAGGUAAGUAGGUGUGGAGGUUGCCUUGAGAGAACAACACUUUUUGGUAUAGAGUCAUCCUAAGUAUUUAUGGGUUGCGCCCCCAAUGAUUGGGAUACCAACUUUGUUGUUAGGUGCUCACAUUGUUCCCCUUGGAAAGCCAUUUCUCAACUCUUCAACAAUUUUUCUAAUUUCACAUUAUACUUGGUGAGAAAUGGCACAAAAAUUCGUUUUUAGGAGAAUGCUUGGCUAGACAAAUGUCCUUUCAAGCUUCAAUUUCCAAAUAUUUUCAAAGUUACAAGGACUAGAGAUAGGCUUGUUUCGUCAAAACCUUUAUGACACAAAGAUUGAAUAUCUAAUUAGCCCCUUUCAUUCCUACUUCAUGCAUAUAUAUCACCUUCCCUUCUAAUAAAAGAGUUUAGUCAUUAACACCCUCAAUAUUUUCUCUAUGAGCUCUUUCUAUAAAGCUCUCUUCGUUUUUCCUCACUUUCCUGUUAUGACCUCUUUUGCUCUAAGUUAAUUUGGAACUCAAAAGCUCCACCAAAGGUUAAUCUUUUGUUUGGCUUGUGGCUACCAAGAAGGUUAAUACCAACAGCUUCAAUUGAGGAGGCCUUACAAAGUUCUUAGCCCAAACCAUUGUGUUAUGUUCUUGAAGAGUAGUAAAUCAGCCGAUCAUCUUUUUCUUCAUUGUCCCACUGCACUUUUACUUUGGUAUAGAUUGUUAUGCAUAGCCAAUCUUGAAUGGUUUCCCCUUGGAGGCAUAGUAGAGAUGUUGAGAAUCUCUUUUAAGGGCUUUAAAAGCCUACCUACCAAAAGGGAAGGCUCUUUAGCAUAUGGUUAUUUUAUCCUUGAUAUGGUUUAUAUGGUUAGAGAGGAAUGCAAGGAUUUUUUAGGAUAAAUGAAGAUUUGUGGAUGCCAUAUGGGACGAUUUACUUUUUCCUCCUCCCUAUGGGCCUCGGUCACCUAGCCCCUUCUAGAUAUUCCUUUGUAUCUUUUAAUGCAAAAUUGGAAGAGUGCUUGCCACUCAAUUAGGUUGAAGAAGAAAGUUAUGAUUGAUUGGUUACCCUCCCUAGUUGGUUUGGUAAAGUUAAACUUUGACAAGUGUUCUUUGAGUAAACCCUAGUCAGAUAUGUACUAGAGGUGUGACUGGAGAUCACUCUUAUCCAUUAUUAAGAGCUUACUCGAAGCAUGAAGAAGCGGGGUUGGCUAAUGAGAUAGAAAUAUUGGCAUUAUUGGACAACAUGCUACAAGCCAAAGCUUUAUGCCUAUCCAAUCUAAUUGUAGAGGGAGAUUUUAACACUGUAAUAUCUUGGAUGAGUAAUAGAGAAAGAGGUCCAUGGAAGUUUGUGAAAUGGAUGCACAAAAUCAUAGAUAUUGCUAGCGAGUUGGGUUGUUCCUUCUCUUUGGCUCCUUGUUCAGCUAACGAAGUCACUAAUAAGUUAACCAAAUAAGGAGCAAAGCAUUUGGCCUCCUUUUUGGAGAUUUCCCUCCCCCUUGAGUGUCUUAAUGUUUCUCUACUGUAUGUAUAUCGGUUUUCUCCUAGUGAGGUUGGCUAGUUUUUGUGGAUCUGGUUACUUGGUCACUUUCCAAUGAACCU